This 60812-nucleotide long non-coding RNA is filed under the name Setaria viridis. RNAcentral's name for it is "long non-coding RNA (SVIR_LNC009891)". Lineage: Eukaryota; Viridiplantae; Streptophyta; Magnoliopsida; Poales; Poaceae. The record is from RNAcentral.
AAUGAAGUUCCCAAGAAGCAAGGCAGGAUAGUUUCAAUUGUUGGAUUUGGAGGUCUGGGAAAGACAACUCUUGCCAAUGCAGUGUACAAAAAGAUUAGAGCACAAUUUGAUUGCUAUGCUUUUGUUUCUGUUUCUCAAACUCCUGACCUGAAGAAACUAUACAAAUGCUUGCUAUAUGAUCUUGGCAAGAGCAUCAACGAAGAAACAUUGGAUGAGAGGCGACUCAUAGAAGCACUCAGAGAAUUCCUUGAAGACAAAAGGUACGAAAGCAUUCCUUUCGCCAAUUUAUACAUAUGAACUUUUUUGGACUGAUAAUUUAUGCCCUCUGUUCACAAUACUAUAAGUCUACAUAGGGUUAAUUAAAUGUUCAUGCACGUGGCACCUAUUAAAUUACAAAAUACAACCACUUAAGCUUUACCACAACAUUAUUAAGUGCAAAUAAUUUCCUCACUGGACUUAUUUUAUCCACAGACUUGCCAAUCCAGCUGCUCCCGAGCUAUUUUAAUUUAAUCAUUAAACCAUUAGCAGUGGUCUAGUUUGCUUAAUUUUCUUGUAGCUGGUAUAUGAACAACAUUAGAGCUUUCUUCAGUCCUUAAACCACUAUUUUUGCUAAUAACUUGGCAUAUGUGUAGGUAUUUUGUUGUUGUUGAUGAUGUAUGGGAUAUAUCAGUUUGGAAAAUGAUUAGAUGUGCUUUGCCUGAUAAUGAUGUUGGAUAUACUAUUAUUACAACAACCCGUAUUUCUGAUGUUGCUGAACAAGCUGGGGUGCUUACAACAUGAAACCUCUUUGUUUGAAUAACUCCUGACAACUAUUGUAUAGAAGAAUAUUUGGUAAUGGGAACAAAGACAACAAUGAAGAAGAAGAAAAAUGUCCUCAUGAGGAGCUAGCCGAAGUAUCUGACAGAAUACUGAAGAAAUGUGCCGGUGUGCCAUUAGCUAUAAUUACGAUGGCUAGUUUGCUAGCUUGCAAAGCAAGAGAUAAAAUGGAGUGGUAUGAGGUGUGCAAUUCUGUUGGUACUGGUCUGGAAAAUAAUCUAGAUGUGGAGAAUAUGAGAAAGAUUUUGUCAUUUAGCUAUUAUGAGCUACCAUGCCAUUUAAGGGCUUGCUUGUUAUAUUUGAGCAUGUUUCCUGAAGAUUAUAUAAUUGAGAAGGAUCGUUUGAUAAGGAUGUGGUUAGGUGAAGGUUUUAUCCAAUGUGAAAAAGUAGGGAAGAGCCUAUUUGAACUUGGAGAGAGUUAUUUCAAUGAGCUUAUAAACAGGAGCAUGAUCCAACCAGAAUAUGAUCUUGAUGACAUAAUGAUACAAGGUUGUCGUGUACAUGAUAUGGUGCUUGAUCUUAUCCGCUCCUUGUCAAGUGAAGAAAACUUUGCUACUGUACUAAGUGAUAUGGGAGGCACAUCUCCGUCAAAUACGAUUCGGAGGUUGUCCCUUCAGAAUGGCCAAGAAAGUCAUGUGAUAGCUCAAGCUACUUUCAGCAUGAAACAUGCAAGGUCGGUUGUUGUCUUUCCAGCUGCUGCUUCUCUAGUGCCACCUCUUGACUGCUGCCGAGUUUUACGUGUUCUGGAUUUAGAGGAUUGCAAUCUUUCACAAGCUAAUAGUAGCCUUAAGUACCUUGGGAAUCUACAUCACUUGAGGUACUUGGGACUAUUUAAGACAGGUAUUUCUCAGCUCCCGGAAGAAAUAGUAAACCUGCAGUUUCUACAGACAUUGGAUGUAAAGCACAACAAAAUUUCCAGGUUGCCUUCGAGUAUUGUCCAGCUAAGAAAGUUGAUGUGCCUAUACAUUAACUGGACUACAAUAGUUCCAAAUGGAAUUGGAAACCUAACAUGCCUUGAACAGCUGUCAAGGUUACGCAUUAAUGACUCCACCAGAAACAUUAUAGAAGAGUUGGACCAGCUAACUGAACUGAGGCAGCUGUCCAUUCAAUUGGACGAGUGGAACGAUAAGCUGUUGGAAUGCCUAUGCAAGCUACAAAAGAUGCAGGAACUAACUAUCACGGUCUAUCCUGGUCAACGCAGCAUCGGCGGAUUGGAUGCUUGGGUCGCCCCUCAACAUCUCCGUGAAUUGGAUACACAACGCAGUAUUAAGGAGAUAAAUGAACAGGUGAUGAGAGAGUAGCAAUAUCACUAAGAAAUCAAGGAGGUGUAUUGCAUCAAACAAGUAAGAUCAUUCAUCAAGAAGGAGAUGCAUGAUCAAGAUCAAGCAGUGAUCAAGGAGAGAGGAAAUAAACAGACAAGGAUUGAGGGUCUAACAUUUGCAAGAUAAGAAGUGCAAAUGAAAAGAGCUCAAGUUAUCAAGGAGGAUUGAGAAAAGAAAAUGAUCAAGGAGUGAGAAUAUUUUCCAGAAAGGUCAAGGAUAAGGCAGGAAUUGUUUAUAUAGUAAAGCAGACCUUAGGAAGUGACCAUUGCUACCUAGGCUUACGUCCUACAGUCGAUACGGCUCUGAUACCACUUCUGUCACACCCGGUUUUAAGGACAAAACCAAGUGCUACCUAUAUGUAUGCCAGGAUCAAGUUUCAUACAUAUAGUGACAUCAUUAGUGAAUAACAGCAACAGUAUCACGUAAAAAGAUACAAAGACUUACGAAACCAUCAGAGAUAUACAGCUUAAUUAUGGAAACGGAGGCUCCAAACUUCACAGGCAAUCGACUGGGGGUUGCGUACGCCUAGAACUCAGCAUCAUCUUCGGAACAACUUCAUAGCAGCUUCUUCUUCUGAGCAAUGUUGUUUAUAGCAAGGGUGAGCACUUGUCGUACUCAGCAAGUGUGAGGAGAAUAUGAAUGCAAGGGUUAAACAAGGAAAGGCUGACUGGUUGACUGCAUUAAGCAUUUUUAGUUGGUCAAAUUUUAUUAGCACCAGAUUACUAAGGUAUAAGUAUAUACCAACCCACAAUUAAUAGAAACAUAAACAUAAGCCAUAAGCAUAUGGCACAACCAUAACCAUAGCAUAAACCACAAUUUAAAUCCAUCUUCAAGUAUAUUACUCAUGUGAGGGUCCAGGCCGCUCUUAACCGUGAGCACGGCUGAUCGAUCAGUUUUACACUCUGCAGAGGUCGCACAUCUUUACCCACAAUUCGCGUAAAAGCUCAAAAGAACUUUAGACCCAACCACGCUUGUGCUGAUCAGGCACAAUACCACACUUCCGAGGUGUGAUUGCAUAGGGACGCUACGAGGCCUUUACAAAGAUUCAUUAGUCAGUGGUAACCCGCUAAGGUUUCGGUGUCUGGCGUGCACCACCCAUCCCAGGUAAAAUGCAACGACUCAGUCCCCCCUCUUGCCUCAUCACGAGUAAGGUCACCCCAGACUAAGGUUUCUAAUUAUUCAGCCAAGACCAGAGCCAUUUAGUCUUGUGGUAGCACUGUUUUCCUGGGUGGUCGCUCCAUGUUCCAAUUAAAUAUUGUAAUCUUGUAUUAACAAAAGGUAUAUCAUAAAUAGAAUAAGUUCACCAUGUUGUUCAUUAGAACCACCAUAACCCAAGUAUAGCAGCUAAGCAUAGCUACCCAACAGAAAGGUAAACCCAGGUUGGCAAGGAAUAAUCAUAAAAACUAGGCAAACCUUAAUAGGACCCAACAAAUUUAAUGCAAGCAUGUGCAAUAGUGAUUAAAUAAAGUUAUUAGGACAAAAGUACAAGGACACACUUGCCUUUCUCCAGCGACAAGUUACUUCUUACUGCUCUUCGGCUCUUGCUCUCUUGAAACUCUUAAUCUUCAAAGCUUUCGAACAGCGAUCCUUCUACUCGAAGCAAUCACCGGCACAAUCAUACAAGUAAACAAACAAAUACAACUAAGAGCAGUACACCAAAACAAAAGGAAAGCUUUAAAAGAGCGUACUAACGACAAGGCUCGAUCUAAGGUCACGCGAACGUAAGGAACGCUUAAAACGGAACUAUGGUUGAAAAGAUAAAGCUAUCGAGAGUUUUGAAUUAUAAAAGAAAGAUAAGAGCUACAAGCUUUAUUUAUUUUAGUUGAGAAAAGCAAUGUAAAGAUAUUUCAGAGAAAUAUCCUUAGUUAGAAUUAAUCAAGUCAUAUUUAUAUUUUCAUGAGAAAAGACGGUGUAAAGCUUACUCCAAUUUUAUUUAUAAAUAUUUGAGUACAAUUUAUGCAAAUUAAACAUUUAAUUUAAAAAUAAGAUACAUGUAGACAUCUAAGCGUAUAGCUUUACAUCUCGAGUUCAACUAAGUAGAUUAAAUUAAAAACACAUUUAUAUUUAUAUAAGCCAAAUUAAUAUUUAAUUAUGAAAACUCGAGAUAUAACCUAUACAGAUUUUAUUUAGAAAACAAAUUGAAUAAACAUUAAUCAAAUUGAAUUUAAUUUAUGAAACGCCGAGGUAUAACUCUUAGUGGCUUUUAAUUGGAAGAAUUAUUUAGAUAGGCAUUAAUCCAAUUAACUUUAGUUUAUGAAAAACCGAUAUAUAACCUAAUUGGCUUUUAUUUAGAAGAGGGUAUGAAGUAGGCAUUAAUCAAAUUAACAAUUAUUAUGAAAAACGAUGUUUAACACUAAAUAGAUUUUAUUUAGAGAAGAACUCGUUUGUCAGGCAUUAAUCAAUUUUAAUAUAAAUUUUAUUUUCAAAAACAUGUGUGAAGGAAAACAUUACCACUAACGUGUAAUUUACAUCAUUAUGAAUCUAACGCAACUUGAACGGACGAAAACGGAAUUAAAACGUAGAAUCUAUGGGUUAAACAACGUUGCAGGGGUCUAAACGUAAUUAACCGUAGACUUGGAGGGUUAGCAAGGAAAAUUACCAAGACUCAGAGAAUAGUCACUGCGAAUAGAUGGAUCUUCGGGGUUAGAUCUGCAAAAGAGGAUGGCUUGGAUCAGAUUGCAAGGAGCUGAAAGUUACAGGGGGUUUUCUACAAGGUUUGAAAGACACAAGAAAUAAGCUGAAAAUUUGAGUUUUCCUCAGGGGCCUAAGAGCAAAAUCACCAUCAUCUUCAACCUUCCAACGCACUCCAACUGACUGGUAACAUGUUGGCCAUAGACCGUGGUCUAGGCCGGUCCUGCCGGCGGCGACGGCCGUGGCUGGGGCGGCUUGCGCGAGCGGCGGGUGGAUGCGCCAGCAGGGAGGCUCGGCCGGCGGCUCCGGCGGCGCAGGCGGCGGCGCAGGCGGCGGCGCAGCGUGCAGGCGGCGGGCGGACGAACGGACCAGGCGUGCUGGCCCAAGUUGCGUACAGAAACAGGAUGGAUGGAGAGAGAGAAAGAGUGGAUAGCCGGAAACGAAGCCCGAUCUCGCGCAUGAACGGCAAAAUGGAACGAUAUCGACGAGACGAACAAGAUGGUGUGCUCACCUUCGGCCAGAGAUGAACAAUGGCGGUGGAAAAGCUCGCCGGAGUUGGGGAAGACGACGGAGCCGACAUCGGAUUCAUGCAAUCCACCACACCAUGGCGUAGAGCUCGAAGAGAGGAACUCCAUGGUGGUGUCGGUUUUCGCCGGAAGUCCACGGUUUCGCCGGAAAAGCUCGCCGGAGUUUGACGAAGACCGAACUUUGACUUCAGAUCUACGGAGUUAGGAGAUGCAACUCGUGAAAAGGUUUUCAGAUCUGAAAUCCUCGCGUCGAGACGAACGCGGUGAUAUAUAUAUAUAGGCCACACUCGGAAAAAGAUAUUUUCGAGUUGACUUUUUAUUUUCGGAAUUUCUGAUUUUAUUUAUCUGCGCGAAAACAAUUCCAGAAAUAGCUGGACUCGUUUUCUAGAGCGAGAAAGAUACCUAGAAAAUUCCGAAAAAUCUGAGAUAAAUCUCAGAGAUGGAUUGGGAUGCAAGGAAUCCAAAUAAAAUACUUGGAGCUCGUGAAAAGGAUUUUAGAACCUUCCAAAAAUUGGAUUUAGCUCUAGGAAAAGGAGAAUAAAUUCCAAAAAAAGAUGGAAAAUCCUCCCAAGGGUCUGGGCAACGUCUAAACGCAUUUUUCAAACUUUUGCGCUUAAGAAACACCAAGAUGCAACGACAUGAAUGCACAGACAUAGAACAACAUUAUUUAAUUUAGAAAAGCAAACAAUUAUUUUUUUCCUAUACUAAAUUUCCUGUAAAGAAAAAAAAAUAAAUGUUGGGAAAAUUUUAAAAUUAUGAGAAAAUUAUUGUUUAUUUAUUCUUUUUAUUCACAUCCUGAAAUUCAGAAAUUUCAGGGUGUGACAGAAAAGUUAAAGAUUAUAAAUGUGGAUGAAAAUAUUAUAGAGUAAUUACUAACUAAAUCUAUCACAAUUGGAUGAAGAUAAUAAGUAUAUAUAUCUAUUGUGUUUGAAUAUUUAACAAAUGAGAGGUAGCUUAUGGUAAUAUUUUUUAGCAAUGUAGUCCCAUUUUUUUUUCCAUUGGAGACUCCGCAUUAGUUCCCAUCAGACAAGCUAGAAAAAAAAAGAGACAAAUUCUCAUAAAAAUCAAAAACAUCAAACACCAAUCCUGUAAAAUCUAAUAAUCAUAGCCAUUGAUCUAUUAUAUUUUCUAAAAAGUUACCCACCACUAUCAUUGUGAAAAUAUUCAAAAAUGAGCUCUAAACCUAUAUCUAAAUUACCGAGCUCAGCUAUUAUAAAAAAUAAUCUAAAGUAAUCCCAUAAUCUUCAUCCAAUUUACUAAUACAUAUCAUUAUAAAGCAUAAAUUAAAAUGUCAUUCUAAAAUUUUAUCUAUACUACCCACGUAAGUUGUUUUUAAAAAUAACCUAAAUUAAACAUCUAAAUCUUAAUCUAAUUAUAUUCAUGUGCAUCAUACAUAAAUGUCAAAAAUAAACUAAUAUAUGAUUCUAAAUUACCUAUUUAUGUCAUUAUUAAUAUAAAAAUACUAAGUUAAAGUAUAUACACACGAUGAGUGUCACCAUUUAGACCAUUUAUACAUGUACGUGAGGAAUCGAUGAAAAAUAUUGAUUUGUAUGCUAAACAUAAUGUAUGGAGGAUUGGAGGUGCGAUACAAAAUGGAAAAAGUAUGAAUAUGGAUGAAAAAGUGCAUAGAGUAAUUAUUAAUUAAAAAUCAAUCACAAUCGGAUAAAGAUAGGUACAUAUCUAUAUAAGUAUUAUGUUGACGUAUUGAAAAAAAUAAGAGAGUAGUAGGUAAUCAAUUUUGAUUAUUAGCUAGGAGUUUAAUUUGUAAAUAAUUUUCAAAUACAAUAGCUUCUAAAAAUAUUAACCCGUGCGGGAGCACGGGUUGAUGGACUAGUGGUGUCUAAUUGUGGCAGAUAAAUAACUCCAACUCUUUCGAGAACUCCAACCCUCUGUCUUCCUCCGAAGUGUAUAUGUAUACAUACACAUUUAACAGCUUCAAUGGGUGUGGCUACAGAGUCGCCGAUCAAGAACUAGAUCAUUUUCUUCCUGUUUAGUGACUACCUGACAGACUGAACUAUGAAGUCUGAACAGGCCAGUUCUGACAGACCUCAGAGCUUCAAAAUCAGAUUUUCAGCGUGCUUUCGUCAUUUGCCAGUAGCGAUGCUUGAAGGAAAAAGUAACAUCAAAACAUUUUAAAGUGAAACAUUUUCUUUUCACAAAAGAAUAACAAGCUAAACCUCACAGGCCAUUCGGGGGAAGCUAGAGGAUGCAAGGGAAAAAGGGGGACGCAAUGGAGGAGGCGAAUUCCGGUGACGCUAACACCGAGCGAGACGCUGGUGGUGGGCCGGAACGAACGCGUCCAGGUCGAAAUCUUUUUACUACAAGGUGCCUUCAAUUCAGUUCAUCCCCUUCUCCAUUUCCUUCAUGCGCGACAUUGGCACCCGGCAAACAAAAUCACUGAUGCAUCGUGAAAAAAGCUCAUGACUCCGGGAGGCAUUCAUGAUACAUGGAUGAUUUUUGAACAGUUGUUGGGAUCGCUUGGCACCGCUUGUAGGCGUGUUAUAUAUACACUCUGCCAUGCCUUAAGUACAGAGUAACCUGCGUUUUCUCUUUCAAGCAGUUAGCUAGUCUUUGAACUAUAUGAAGCAUUGGAGGAAACCAAAUUACGAGCUUUGACUUUUGUAGCUGAACGCAUCCACAAAUUUGGUGAGGCAUAUGGGCACAUUCAGACAAUCUUUGAUCUUGAUCACUUUCGGCCUGUACAAAUCUUUUCUCUUUCACACAAUUCCAAACACGAAGAACCAGUGAAGACUUUGUAUAUACGAUGGUAUAAGCCAUAAUGGUGCGUAUCGUUAUCGUGGUCCAUGUUGCUAAUGGUAUACAGAAGUUCAAUUUAUUGGUACAAGUGGCCAUGAUGUAUUUGUGAAAAGAGCAUCCUGUUCUUGCUGACUUCAUUGAUAACACGAUCAGGUUCGCUAUUUGGAUGUGUCGAUCGUGACCGGACUUCAGAAUGCUACCUUCCUUUGUUAGGCGUGUUACAACUUACAAGAACUGUAAAGAAGAAAUAGAAACUCAGUUAACAUCAUAUCACAUACAAUGAAUCACAUCUCAUCGACAGAUAUUUGUCUGAGCUUCUCUUCAUCUCCGCUACGGCAUUGCACCCAGCAGCCUUCUACAUGGCGUUUAUGUUUUUUGUCCUGUGAUUCUAUAAUGGAUGAAGAACCGGUUACAGGUGAUCCUCGGAAGGUCACCUGAGCUUUUCCUUAAGGCCCGUCGAAUGAAUUUGUCCGCGUGCUCCUCAUGCUCCCUCGACGCACGCAUCCACGUCCAUCCCGGCCGGCGAUCACCGGUCAUAUAAGCUGAUUAGGCUGAUAGCUAUAUGAUUGAAGCGACGGCAGCACAAACUCGGGCGAGGGACGGACUCUGUUAUCGAGCGUCAACCAUCAUCGUUUACAUGUUGUUCAGAAUUCAGUCAUAUGGUUCAGUUCACUUCUUGGUUGUCAGGUAUUUCCGGGAGGCAAAAACUGACUAGACUCACUGAAGCAUGUACGCAUAGUGCCAUCUGUUCAUCACAUCAGUGGGAGGUCCUGAAAGGGAGUUUAGAUAGAAGAGAUUAAAAUUACAUUGUUUGUUUGGUGGGAAUGGGAGUUUUAAUGGGAUGAGGAAUAGGAGUUUAAUGGGAUAAGGAAUGGGAGUUUAGAGAGGCAACUCCCACUUAUCAUUUCCCCAGGGGAGGGGUGGGAAUUAGGUAAGAAUUUGUUUUAAAUGGAAGAUGAAUGCAUCUACACCGUUUAUCAUAACUUAAGAUAUAAUUUCCCACUGCUAAACCCUCACACCAAACAACGGAUAUCUAGUUUCACUUAAACUCCCACUCUUAAUUCCCUCCAAAAGACAAACAAGGAAAUGGCACUAAAAAUCAUAUUCCCAAAUAAAUUCCCUCCACCAACUCCCACCGCUAAUUCCGAAGCCCCUUCCCAUUAGUUGCCCAACGCACCCUUAAAUUAGACGAAACUGGCACCGGUCAAAAACAGAAUACUGAUCGAUCAGAUGAUCACCUAUGUGCUGUGAAAUGAAAUGAUUCAUGAACAGUAACCGUAUGACUUGUUGGAGAUCACUCUAAAAGACAGCCACCCUCGAGGUCAUCUUCUUCGGCAUGAGCCAACUUGCAUCGUGAAAUCUUUUGGCUUCAGGCGAAGGUUGCUAACAUCGUGAGACCAAUUUGGCAUAAAAACCAUGUUAGCCUCGCGCUGUCUCUGUAGCUCGGGUCUCGAAGCUAAGGCAUAAUUGCUAAUGGCUAAAAUGUGACAAAGCUUACCCUCGGAUGCUCGAAGCUAACCUCGAGUGACAAGUUUUUUACUGUGUUUUAUUCAGGGUUACCGGAAUGAGGACGCUAAGGCUCAAGGCACGAGGCUAGGCAUCUUUCUCGGCACGAGGAUGAGAGAACUUCAAGCACGAGGUAAAGAGGUUCGCUGGAAAGAUGCUAAAGGCACAAAGGCGUGAAAAGCAUGAUUGCAUGGAGGCGUUGGAAACGUGAACCCCCGGUGGCGUGAUUAACGUGACUACCCGCUAGCGUGAGAAGCGUGACCCAAUAGAAGAGACCAAGUCGAACAAGGUACCUCCAACCUUUAUGUACAGUAGUUGAGAUAGGGUGAUCUUAGAAUGUAAAGUGUCCCUCGGAUCACUAUAAAAGAGGAGCACUACCCUGGUGUAAAGGGAUGAUCUUUUUUGAGAACUGAAUCACGAGUGCUAACUCUACAUUGUUGUGUUCGAGUCUCCUUGAGGAGUUCUCUAUCGCUAGGUGUGAAAGCCUACAGAGUCUUGAAUCUUCCCAAGGUGCGUCAGCUGUGGGUAAGUUGCUGUCAAGUUUAAGGCGUGUGGAUGAGUUGGGCAGUUUGGAGCAGCUGUGGCUGAAUGUGGAUUUGCAGGACCUCGCUUCUCAGUGGGUGCCUGGGCUUAAACAACAGCGCCAAUAACUCCAUGGGGAAGACCUGGAUAUCUACACAUGGUGACUGAGGUACGAGAAAAACUGGGCAUUAAUUUAGUUGCUCCUUAAUUUGUUUGGUUGUCCAUCUAAUUAAUGUUGUUUUCUCUCUGAAUUUUGUAGUUUCAACCGACACUAGCAUCUUGAAUUUGUGGAUAUUAGUCUUCUGUAGGAAGGAGGACUGAUGAUAAAGUGCAACGAUCAAGAUGAACUGAGGUCGAAGGGUGGGAACUGAGAGAUGGAAAUCAAGAGCAGCUGCAUGCGAUGCAUCGAUUCUUGCUCUAAGGUUGGUUCUAUGAGAACACAGGCAACACAGGGAGAAGGCUUCCUCUCUUCUUUGGCCCAUUGGAAGCCUUGUUUAAUCUUGUUCAAGUGUUUGCUAUUGUUGUGUGCAUGUCUAAACAAAAUGUGUGCUACUUACUUGAGUUUCUCGAUUAAUUCAUUCUGUAAGGCCUGGUUUGGUUCGUUUGCUUAUUUUUAAGCAUCCGUCAUAUCGAAUGUUUAGAUACUGAUUAGGAGUAUUAAACGUAGACUAUUUACAAAAUCCAUUACAUAAGUGGAGGCUAAACGGCGAGACGAAUCUAUUAAGCCUAAUUAGUCCAUGAUUUGACAAUGUGUUGCUACAGUAAACAUUUGCUAAUGAUGGAUUAAUUAGGUUUAAUAGGUUCGUCUCGCUGUUUAGCCUCCACUUAUGUAAUGGGUUUUAUAAAUAGCCUACGUUUAAUACUCCUAAUUAGUAUCUAAACAUUGAUGUGACACUUGCUUAAAAAUAAGCAAAGGGAACCAAACGCCCCCUAAGAUGGGCUUCUAUUCCUUGUACUUAGCGAACUUGUAAUCAUAUCUUGGCUGGUGCCUAUGCUGCUGCUCCGUCGUCAAUUUGUCACCUGCUCUUUCACUGUGAUGCGAUUACAAUUUGUUGGGUGCAAUCAAUUUCUUCCGUUCUGUUCUCAAAAAAAUGUCAGAACUUGGAGAAUCACAGCCAUCAAGAUGCACUGAUGUCGGAACUCGGAGAAGGCUCCUUCUCUUCUUUGGCCCAUGGGAAGGCUUGUUUAAUGUUGUUCAAGUGUUUGGGUAUCCUUGUGUGCAUAUCUGAAUAAAUUGUGUGCUACUUGAGUCUCUCGAUUAAUUCAAUCUGUGUGAUGGCUUGUAUUCCUUGUACUUCGUGAACUUGUAAUGUCAACUUCAUCUGCUGUUGCAUGCUUUCUGUUGCCAACUGAGCUCCUGUUUUGUUACCACUGCUAUUAAUUUUUACUCUAAUAGAACUUCUGUUACUCGUUCCCCUGCUUAGUUCCCUAAUGCAUCUUAUGUCAAACAAUCAAGUCAUCCCGUGAAUGGUGAAAUGCGGGUUAGCUCUAAAAAUCAUAUCUUGGCUGGUGCCUAUGCCACUGCUCUGCCAUCAAUUUGUCACCUGUCCUUUCACUGUGAUGCGAUUACAUUUUGUUGGGUGCAAUCAAUUUCUUCGGUUCUGUUCUCAAAAAAAAAAUCUUCCAUUCAUAGGACUAGAUUUGCACGAGCAAAUUUCCGCUCAAAUUCGUGCAGCUAGAUGAGGCACGAGUCGUCAUUAGUCGAUACUUAGGUAGCUGCAGUUCUGAGCAUCUACUGAAACUCUGUUCUCUUUGCAUCUACUCUGUUUUCUUCGAACCCUGCUUGAUUCAGUACCAACACAAGACAGCUAGCCGGAUCAGGUAGCGUGGUCGCUCUACUACAGAUGAACCUCUGAACAUUAAUUUCCUCUGUUUCUAUAAAUCGUGCAGCUGUUCAACAAUAAGAAACCAACUAAUUUCAUCAUGUUUAUUCAAAAAAUGGCUGGCUUGUGGAAAUGCCCGAAUUGAUGGACUAGAAUGUUGAACACAAAGUUUGGGAAAAGAGUUAAUCUCAGAAUUAGAGUUGGCAUGCAUGGAUCAUGAUGCGACUUAGAUCUACUUGUGUAUAUCCAAUUGCAUCAAGGAAAAGAGCUGCUCCAGAGCUAUCUUGAAGCUUUCUCCUCCAAGCGCAGGGAGGAAUAGAACAGAGCAGAGAACAGCUGCACUGCAAAGGCGCUCUCUGCACUCCUAGGAAGACUGAUUGGACUGAGAAAACAUGUGGUUGGACUUUUGACUAGGGGAGCUAAGGUGAACGAUUGUUGACUAGGAAGGCAUGAGGUUGGACCUCUCAUUCGGUCCGCUAAAAGAACAAUUAUUGUUGACUAAGAAAACAUGAGGUUCGGCCUCAGAUGGAAUUUGUAAGGUCCAAAGGGCCACUUUCAUAUCUUCUCCAUUCUAGAGGAUCGGAAGCUUUGGUCAGUUUUGUAUUCAUUUCUUUGCAAAAGAAACGUACUCAGAUGCCUCCUAUGGUCUCCAUGGUUGGUUGCAAUCACCUAACUGAAUUAAUUGAACGAUAGAUAGAGCAUACUGUAAAUUUUUUAUGACCAAGGACAAAAGGAACGACUUCUACUGAACUGACCACACAGCAAAGAGGCCAAGGCCUGGUGGCCUUAUCGUCACGCAUCUCGCUACUAAGUAGUGAUCACACACCAAAUAAAAGCUAACAGCCGAAGAAGGCAACGGAUGUCAACAAAGAUGGCAUGCAUGCAUGUUUCCUUGACUAUAUAUGACAUGGGACAACUAAUUUACAUUUAUACUGCUACGAGUUUUACAAUAUUAGUAAAAAUCUAUUUGGAUCCGAUGCUAAAUUUUAGCGGGCUAAAAAUUAGUCCUUAACGAUUUAAAUGGUGGGGCUAAAGGUGGACUAAUUAUUAGCCAACUCAAACUAAACUUUAGUUCAUUAGCCCUCCAAACCCAGCUAAUGGGGCUAAUUUUACAAACGAAUGGUAAAAGAUUAAAAAUACCCUCCACUAAAAUCUUAAGAUUUUCUCUCCUACACCCCCUAAGGAUAGAAUAGACAUUUCCCAAUAAAUAGGUUAAAAAUUAGCUCUACCUCCAAAGAAGACAGAGUUAUUUUAGCCAACGAAAGUUUUGAUGUCUAAACUUUAGUUUUAGUCCAUCCAAACAGACUCUUAGAAUGAUUGAUACCACCACCUUGAUUUUGGUUCGGAAGUAUUUAUCUAGAUAAAAUAAAAAUUUUAGCGCUGGUCCAUGUAUCUAGAAAAACCAAAUCAACCUACAUUUUGAAACGAAGGGAGUAGAAUGUAAGAUGCAUAGGUGCAACUUGAAGAAAAUUGGAUCCCCGUUGGUACGGAACUAUGAUACAAGUAGGGAGAGAUGUCUCGUACGUAAUUUCGCUGUUGCACGAUUCAUGAAUGCAUGCAUGUAUGAUACAAGUAGCAAGAGACGUCUCGUGAUUUCGCUGUUGCACGAUUCGUCAAGAUGCAGGGACCAGCAUCAUCAAACUGAAAACGUGAUGGACUGAGACGGCGGCGCGUGUUGGAUGUGUUCCGCCUGCAGGCCGCGACGUACUUGAGAAUAGCACGCGUCACGUAAGGGGUGUUUGGUUCUUCAGAACCUCCUAAAAUUCCUAUCACAUCGAAUGUUUAGAUAGUAAUUAGAAUUCCUAUCACAUCGAAUGUUUAGAUACUAAUUAGAAGUAUUAAAUAUAGACUAAUUAUAAAAUCAAUUGCACAGAUGGAGGCUAAUUUGCGAGACGAAUCUAUUAAGCCUAAUUGCACAGAUGGAGGCUAAUUGCGAGACGAAUCUAUUAAGCCUAAUUAGUCCAUGAUUUGACAAUGUGAUACUACAGUAAACAUGUGUUAAUGAUGGAUUAAUUAGGCUUAAUAGAUUCGUCUCGCGAAUUAGCUUCCGUCUGUGUAAUUAGUUUUAUAAUUAACUCAUCUUUAUUCCUUCUAAUUAGACAAAUAUUCGAUGUGACAUAAAUUUUAAUCCGGACUAAAGAUCCAAAUUACCCCUGGUACGCGUGGGAGUAGCUCAGCUGUCCCUGUCCAUUGCGGCCCGGAAACUGGAAUUCCACCUUCAAGAAGUACGUGCCGAGCCUGACUGUUUGUAGAUUCGUCAAGGUCAUCGUGGUGUUUCUAGAUUCGUUUCAUCUUUCGAAGCAGAGUUCUUGUGUUGAGUUCUUGUUGUUCACCGUGGAAGAGUUGGCGUUUCUAGCACGCACGGAGAGUGAACCAAGGCAUGUGGGACGACCCAUUCGGAGUAGUAGUCAAUGUGGAAUUGAAUGACGGGCUGUGUUAUGGUGUGCAUCGAGUGGAAGAAAUUAAAAAGUCUGAUUGCAACGUUACUGCGUUACUUGACGAAAUCUGCAGCUUGAAGAACAGGGAAGGUCCAUGAAUGCAUGCGCCGGAGGAGAUCCGGAACAACGUAUGCAUAUACGGGAGUUCUUGGGAAAAUAAUAAUUAGAUAAAAAUUACUAAAUUAUCUAUAAAAAUGGAAGGUUAACCUACAUGAUUAUGAUAGUGCAGAAAUCAACCGAGCAGGAAUGGAGUCAACAAUGACGUGUCCUGUGCAACAAUGACGUGCCCAGGAAGAUGCGGUCCAGUUGACGCAGCCAAGAUGGGCCGUUACACGUUGAUCCAUUGUUAGCUAGCGCACUCGCUUCACCAGCAGCAACCUCUAUAAAAGGAGAUCAAUACCGGAACAGAUCAGCAAUCUGCACAAGACCACAAGUAGUUAACUAAGCAUUGCAGCCAGUUACUAGCAACUAGUGACUACUGAACAUCCAGCGCGUAGGAUGGCUGCAAGAAAGGAUAUUGGUGCUAACAAGGAGACCUGCGGCGCCUUUGAACCUUGUUUAUGGGGCGACUUCUUUGUGAAUUACACUCCUACCUCAUCACAGGCAUGAAUUUAUGAUUUCAUUGUACUCAGCAUGUUAUAAUGUUUAGUUCUUUAGUUAUAUUGUAUUGCAUAACAAGCAGAGGUCGGAGGAGUGGAUGAGAGAGAGGAGUGAGCAACUCAAAGGGGAAGUGUGCCGGAAGUUUGAGGUUGGAAAAGCCAUGAGCGUGGCCGACGCGGUGAGGUUGGUGGACACGCUUGAACGCCUUGGUAUAGAUAACCAUUUCGUCAAGGAGGUUGAGAAGGCCUUGGAGGGUGUCCACGAUGAGGAGCUGGACUUUGGUAGCUCCAAUGACUUGCAUGUUGUUGCCCUCCGGUUUCGUCUUCUUAGGCAACAUGGCUUUUGGGUAUCCGCAGGUAAUAGAAAUCAGAAGCUAACAAAAGCUGAUCAGUUAUGCUCGAUCAUUAUUCUUUCACACAUGUUUCUCUGUUUUUCUCUUUUUUCCUGUUGCCACCACAUAACCUAUAUACGCUGAAAACUGUUUAUCAUUCAUACAAUUUUUUUUGUUUAGAUUUGAUUUGAAUGCGUGUGUAAUAUUAUGUACUAGGAGUUAUAGAAAACGCCAUAUCAUUACUAUAUGAGCUUCUAGUGAUGAAUAUGUACAUACGUGCAUGCAUACAGAUGUAUUCGACAAAUUCAGAGAUGACACCGGUAGUUUCAACGUAAAUCUAAGCAAUGACCCGAGGGGCCUGCUUAGCUUGUACAAUGCUGCUCACAUGGCGGUACCUGGUGAGACGAUCUUAGAUGAUGCUAUCGCCUUCACUAGGCGCCAUCUUGAGGCUGCAAAAGGCAAGCUUACAUCUCCUAUAAAGGAACAAGUUUCCCGUGCCCUAGAGAUUCCGCUCCCUCGUUUUAUGCGGCAACUAGAGACCAUGCAUUAUAUUACUGAGUAUGAGAAAGAAGAGCCACACGACAUCAUGAUGCUAGAGCUUGCAAAGAUUAACCUCAACCUUCUUAGGAGUGUCCACCUCAAGGAGCUUAAGGACCUCUCACUGUAAGUUGAUAUUCUAGUUCUUUCACCCUAUUUGUUCAUUGUUCAUUGUCUUCACUAACAAGGUGGGUUAACCAAUUCCAUGUGAAGAUGGUGGAGGGAUCUCUAUGACAGUGUGAAGCUAACCUACUGUCGGGACCGCAUCGUGGAGUCUUACUUCUACAGCUUUGGAGUGUUCCAUGGGGAGGAAAGCUCUGCUGCGCGGAUCAUACUUACCAAGGUGUUUGGGUUGUUGGUCCUGAUUGAUGACACAUUUGAUGUGCGCGCCACCUUUGAGGAGUCCCAAAUGUUAGAUGAUGCCUUGCAAAGGUAGGAUAAUUCACUACCACUACAACUACUUCCUCUAUUAUAUGCUUUUUGUAAAUGAAAAAUCAAGUUUUAUCGUACAGCUCACUUAUAAAAAUAACAAGGGACUCGAUAACUGGAAUGCUGACUCACAUAUGAAAAGAACCUAAACUCAUUAUUGUAAGGAAGUCGUACUACAAGAUGGUUGCAUACUUGUAUGUGGUUAUAUAUGUUGUUCGCUGGUCAAAAUAAAACAGCCAAACUAAUUAGUGUAUUUCUGUCAUAAUUAUAUGUAGAUGGGAUGAGAGCACUGUUUCGCUUCUACCACAAUACCUACGCAUGUUCUACAUCAAAACAUUGAGUAACUUCAAUGAAAUUGAGGAUACUUUGGAACCGCACGAGAAGUACCGCAUGGAUUAUGUCAAAAAAGAGGUGUGGCUUUAUAGUCAAAUAGUCAACUAACAGCUACGUAACUUCUGUAGAAACCUGACAAACAUGAACAGUGGUUUAGAUCCUCUCAAUUUUAUUAAUCCAAACUUAUUUGCGUACAAUGUUUUUGAUUUUGCAGUACAAAUUGCAAUCAAAAAAUUCCAUCCAACAGGCUAAAUGGUUCAAUGAAAACUGCACGCCCAGCUUCAAAGAACAUCUAGACGUGUCACUUAUGGCGACGGGUUUGCCGUUGCUGUUCUUCACAGCUCUGAUGAGUGCAGGCCAAGUGAUAAGCAAUGAGGCAUUCGAGUGGGCACUUGACAUGCCUGACAUGUUUUAUGCCAAUAUAGAAGUGGGUCGCUUCCUCAAUGACAUCGCUUCUUACAAGGUACUAUAUCGAGGUCAAAUAAUAGUCUAUCUAUUUUUAAAUAUUUGACGCCAUUACCUUUUUCAUUCUUUUGACUAUUCAUCUUUUGUAUAAACAUAAACAUAUGAUGCACGAUUUAAAGCACUUUUGAUGAGAGGUCUAGUGUUACUUAUUUCGCUUUACUUAAUGAAUUAAUUCAAUAACCAUUAUUGGUCAAAGUUUGAGAAAAAGUCACCUUAGAAGGUAUUUCAAUCAUGGAGGUAUUUAUAAGACCAUUGUUGUUAUUUUUAUUGAUAACAAAUAUUAGAAAAGCAAUGGACAGACAUGCAGUACAUUCCAAACCCCUCUGACAUCAUAAACAGCAAAAUGAUCUACUACCUGCUUGUAUCGGAAAAAUAUGACAUUCAGUGCCCGGAUGGAUCUCUAUGUUACUGCAUAUGCACGCACCUAACAUCACAAAUACACAUAUCUUUGCGCGCAGCAAGGGAAGUGCGAGAAGGAUGUGGCCAGCACUGUGGAGUGCUACAUGAGGGAAUACGGCACGACUGGGGAAGAGGCGGUGGCAGCGAUCACCGGGAUGGUGGAACAUGCGUGGAGGAGGAUAAACAAAGCUGGCAUAGAGGUGAAACCUGCAGUAGAGCCGGUAGUGCAAUGUUUGUUGAACACGACGAGGGUGCUAGAGGCCUACUACCUUCAUGGCAGGGACGGCCUCACCUAUGGCCGUGACCUCAAGGAGCUCAUCACCUUCCUCUUCCUGAAGGAUGUCCAUGUCUAAGUUUGUUAUUUGCAUCAGUACGACAUAUACUGUACUGCAUAUGUGCAAUUGUUAAAUGUGAUGAUUGUGUCGAGAAAAAUAAAAACAAUGGUGCCAACCUAGCUAACUGAUGGUCGAGCCUCGUCACUCGGUUCAGCCUGCCAUUGGCUUAUCUUCUGAACUUAAUCUUUUACAUAUAUGAUAUUGUUAUCUGCUCUCAUUUACUGUCAGACUUUUUGUGUGUUUAGCUCUUGGUCUGCUCUCAUUUGCCUAUGCCGCUGCUCUCUCGUCAAUUUGUCAUAUGUCCUUUCACUGUGAUGCGAUUACAUUUGUUGGGUGCAAUCAAUUUCUUCGGUUCUGUUCUCAAAAAAAAAAUCUUCCGUUCAUAGGACUAGAUUUGCACGAACAAAUUUCCGUUCAAAUUCGUGCAGCUAGAGGAGGCACGAGUCGUCAUUAGUCAAUACUUAGGUAGCUGCAGUUCUGAGCAUCUACUGAAACUCUGUUCUCUUUGCAUCUCCUCUGUUUUCUUCGAACCCUGCUUGAUUCAGUACCAACACAACACAGCUAGCCGGAUCAGGUAGCGUGGUCGCUCUACUACAGAUGAACCUCUGAACAUUAAUUUCCUCUGUUUCUAUAAAUCGUGCAGUUGUUCAACAAUAAGAAACCAACUAAUUUCAUCAUGUUUAUUCAAAAAAUGGCUGGCUUGUGGAAAUGCCCGAAUUGAUGGACUAUAAUGUUGAACACGAAGUUUGGGAAAAGAGUUAAUCUCAGAACUAGAGUUGGCAUGCAUGAAUCAUGAUGCGACUUAGAUCUACUUGUGUAUGUCCAAUUGCAUCAAGGAAAAGAGCUGCUCCAGAGUUAUCUUGAAGCUUUCUCCUCCAAGUGCAGGGAGGAAUAGAACAGAGCAGAGAACAGCUGCACUGCAAAGGUGCCCUCCUUCUCGGGCUGUGACUGUGUAAUAUUCCAAAAAUUUGAAAUAUUAAUUUGAGUGAAAUUUCCAAAAAUUCAAAACUUUUUGUUCAAAUUGUGUGCUUGUUUAAAAAUGAAAGACAAAUUCUCUUCUCAUCCAAAUUCCCUAAUGGUCAAAUCACAAAUCUCUUGAAAACUUGUGUGGAUUUUCAUGGAUUUUAUUUGGAUCUCAAAUAUAAGUGUGUUUGAAUUUUGAAUAUAAUUCAAAAUUCAAACUAAAAUGUAUCCCUCCUAAAUUUCUGUAAAUCAUUUCUUAAGAGCCAGAUCCGCCUUCUCUACAAAAUGUUUUUGCUCCUGAAGCUUUUGGCUGAGAGUAUGGAUCACUUUAUCUUUAUCAGCGAUGGUCCUCAUAACUUUUUCUAUAGUGUCCCGGAGUUUCUCCAAAACACCAAGACAAUAAACACCAAGAUUGUCUGCAGAACUCUUUUCCAGGCUUCUCCAAAACACCAAGACAAUAAACACCAAGAUUGUCUGCAGAACUCUUUUCCAGGCUUUUGACUUUCUGAACGAGGUCGCUGCAAGUGUUGGUAAGCAGCACCUUGUUUCUUUGAAGCUUGGCGUUAGCCUCGAAAAGCUCAUUCUUUAGACUUACUAAAAUGCUAUUUUCCUUCUCGAGCCUCGCCACCUUAGCCUCAAGAUUUAGCAUCUUGGCGCUCUGACUGAGCAUAUCCUUCUCUUUCUCUGCUAGCUUCUUCACAGCGAUCUUGCCGAGGAUCACAGACUGCGCAGGCAGCAAACAGAGAAAGGCAAAUUAAAUGCUAUCAAAUAAUAAGAAGCAAGGAAAAUACACAUAUCAAAUACAAUACCUUGUAACCGAGGUUAGCCAACGGCCUGGCAAGAUCGUCAGGUUCGAGGUCACGAACAGCUUUCUCAUACUCUAUCGGAAUGAGACAUGUUAGAAAAACAAGCAAACUAAGGAUAAGUGCAGUUGAGGUAAACAAAAAAGGAAAUAAGAAGAAAUAACUUUCAGGGUCGAAAGCUUUAUCCUCGCAUUCAUUCCUCAGCACGAGCCUUGGCCUUUCCAGAGGCCUAGAGGUCCUCUUUUUUCUCUGUAUCCCCCUUUUUUCGAGCCUCGCCCCCGUCACCCUCAACUUUCCCUGGGAUUGCCUUCGCCACUUCAUCUACAACACGGACUGCAUCCUCAGUCACAGCCCUGGCAAUGUGGGAAUUCUUCGCAGAGUUUUUGACCUUCAUGCCAGCAAGCGGACCAGUAGCCUCAAGCUCAGGUUUGGUUGUAGCUGGCUCAACCCUCGAGACAAAAGACGCAUAGCUCUUUGUAGCUUCGCCCGAAGAACUUUGACCAAGUCUUUCUUUCUUUUUAAGGGCCUCGAGGCUGGAAAUCUUCAACUUUGCUCUCGCAACCUCACUUACAACUUUGCUCUGGUUCUUGAAUAGUUGAUCAAUGACAUGAGUUUGCUACCUGGAUGUGGAUGAGAACACAAGUGUAGUGUGGUGUCUAACUGUGGUGCUAGCAUGACAUGAUCAUGGUAGAUGAAUGAUCCAUGAAUAAUUGUUGCAUGACUUGCAUCAAUGAUCAAUGGAUGCAUGCUUAAAGCAACAAUACCAAAGACUAUCACACUAUCAUUUACCAUUCAAAAUGUUUCAAGAGGUAGAACUGUAGAACAACCUGUGUAUCUUGCUGUUAAGAUGUACUCUAAAGUAUUCAGCUAUUGGAGGUAACCAAACUAACAUUACAAGCAUGUUGGAGCUAGCUCGAAAAGCCAUAUGGGGAUCCGGGUAUGGUUUAUGAUGUUUCCAUCCGCUCAAAUUCUUCAGCAGUUUCUUUCGAGCAGAGUUUAUAUAAGAUGCAUGCCUCUGUUUGCGAAACACGAGUUUUUUAUUCACAUCAAUGUUUGUACAGGCAAGUUCUAUAAAAAAAUAUUUCAUUCACAUCCUUAGUGAAAGAGACGUUUGCCGUUUACCAAUAAAAUCUUAUGGUCAUCGCCAAUGCUGUAUCUGUGACAGAUAAAAGUACAUUGCAGGAACAAAUAGAUCCUCUGUGGCUCUGUCGUUCAGUCGUUACUAGUUCCUGAAGCGUUAGUGUAAAGAGACCGGAGAAGUAGUCGAGAUCGAGGCCGUUGUCUUGUAGUCGGUUCAGGCAGGCCCGAGGUCACAUUGUUGGCCCUGCUCGAAAAUGUUGCAAGAUGGGAUCGAAGCAGAUCAUUAUGCUCGAAAAUGUAUUUGCAUGGCUUUGUUCCAAAGUUCCUCCGUCAACCAUGCAAGAGUCAGUCUUUUUUUAGUGUGACUGAAUCUUGGCUGCAAGCAAAGCUACAGCCUGCAAACUGCAGGUCACACGAUUCACUUGAUACAUGACUGAAUGGAAGGGAACAUGCCGGUCAUGUUUAGUUCCCUCCAAACUCCCAACUUUGACGCUAUGCAAAAAAAAGAUUCCCCAUCAUAUCAAACUUGCGGUACAUGCAUGGAGUACUAAAUGUAGACGAAAUCAAAAACUAAUUGUACAGUUUUGUUGUACUUUGCGAGACGAAUCUUUUGAGCCUAAUUAGUCAAUAUUUGGAUAAUAAUUCACAAAUACAAACGAAACGGUACAGUUGCGCAUUUAUAGCAAAAUGUCAAUUUUGCCUAUCCCAAAUUGGAAACUAAACAAGGCCUAACAUCUGAGCUGUCGCCGCCGGCAAGGAGUGUAUCCAUUUGUGCAGCCCAAUCACAAAUGCUCGUAUGGGCUACUUUGAAGCGGCAGCAGCAAGACUGUUGCCGAGCACCAAAUGUCAUUCUUUAUCCGAUCUUCAGAAUUCGGUCAUGUAAUAAUUCAGUUCACUCCUUGACUUGAUGAGUGCACUCAAUCACCCAUGAUGAAUGAAUGAUUGAUUAGCAGUUUGCUGGAUGGCAUUGAGAAUAGUUUAGCGGCAUCAGCGCGUGGGGAAUAUAUAGUUUAGCGGCAGGGGCCCAGGACACAGUGCAGGGAAUCAGAGUUCUCGCAAAGAAAACCUUUCUCCGUAGAAUUGCUCAAAGAAUCGUAGAGAAUCACUUUCAAAUUGCAUUAGUAUGUCAAGAACUCACGAUCACUUUCAAAAACGGAACCGGAAACGAUGGGGAGACCUUGGCCUUGACCUGGAGUCGUCGACUGGAGACUGGAGUCAGCACGUGAGCGUGGCCCUCCUGGACAAGCAGCGGGGCCAGGAGCAGGACGUGCAGCGACCAGCAAUCAUUGAGUUUGGUGUUUGAGCAGCGGGGCCACUGAGCGGUGGUGCAUUAUUACCUUCAAUUAUUAAUUGCCUUCCCCUUCCCCUGCAUCCGCAUCCCAUCGACCUCUGCUUCGUGCGAUUCCAAGGCUGUUGCGAGCGGUGAGCUGUGUUGCGGCCGAGCAAGCUUGAAUCAAGCAACCUCGGUCCGGCGACGAGCGGCUGGCGGCGCGAUCCGGCAAACCAGUGAGUCCUAGCUGUCGCACCCUUGUCCUUCAAUCUUCUUCAUGCCCAUCCAUUCCCAUUAGGCAAUAGCUACAGCCUACGAAAAGGCAGGUCGAGCACCCCCAUCCGAAGGAGCCCAAGCGGCCAUCCACAAAGACGUAAAGUCACGAGACCCUAUCGUUAGCUUCUCUCAUCAGUUAAUAUGAUUUCUGUUGUUAGCUUCUCUCCAUCUGAAUUAAGCUGUUCAAACGAUGUCACAAUUUGAUUAAUGAUUUGAAUUUUAAUGGUAGAUCGUCAACAACUCAAAUGUCGAGAAAAACAUCAAUCACACAUCAUUCAGUUUCAUUUUAGUACUAGCAUACAACCUUACUCAUUGGUCUUGCCCAGGGACAACAAAUCCAUGGAGAUCGUGGCGGGGGCACUGCCGAGCCUCCUCCCCAAGCUUGCUGAGCUGCUAGUAGGCGAGUACAAUCUGCAAAAGGAGGUGAAAGGAGGCAUCAUCUUCCUCCAAGCUGAGCUCGAGAGCAUGCAAGGUGCCCUCGAGAAGAUCUCGAGGACACCAGCAGACAAGAUUGACGACCAGGACAAGAUCUGGGCUAGGAAAGUGAGAGAGAUGUCCUACGAUAUAGAGGACAAUAUUGACAAAUAUAUCCUGCAGUGCAAGGGGAGGAAGACGGGCGAACAGCAUAGCAUCAAGGAAGCCAUUGAUAGGACCCUCAAAUGGUUCAGGCAGCCUAAGAUUCGUCGUAAGAUUGCUACAGAAAUCAGAGAGAUCAAGAGCCGUGUCAUCGAGGUGCAUGAACGGCGUCGCAGGUAUGAGGUCAGCCUUGGUGUUGAUAAGCCUGUAACUGUGGACCCUCGUUUAUUCGCUCAGUACACAGAGGUCAAAGAGCUUGUUGGCAUGGAUGAGGCAAGGGAUGAGUUAAUCAACAAGAUUAUGAUACAAGAGAAUGAAGUUCCCAAGAAGCAAGGCAAGAUAGUUUCAAUUGUUGGAUUUGGAGGCCUAGGAAAGACAACUCUUGCCAAUGCAGUGUACAAAAAGAUUAGAGCACAGUUUGAUUGCUAUGCUUUUGUUUCUGUUUCUCAAACUCCUAACCUGAAGAAACUGUACAACGGCUUGCUAUAUGAUCUUGGCAAGAGCAUCAAUGAAGAAACAUUGGGUGAAAGGCGGCUCAUAGAAGUACUCAGAGAAUUCCUUGAAGACAAAAGGUACAAAAGCAUUCCUUUCGCCAAUUUAUACAUAUGAAAUUUUUUUGGAAUCAUGAUUUAUGCCCUCUGUUCACAAUACUAAAGUCUACAUAGGGUUAAUUAAAUGUUCAUGCACGUGGCACUUAUUAAAUUACAAACUACAACCACUUAAGCUUUACCAAAACAUUAUUAAGUGCAAAUAAUUUCCUCACUGUACCAAAAUUUAAUCAUUAAACCAUUAGCAGUGGUCUAGUUUGCUUAAUUUUCUUGUAGCUGGUAUAUGAACAACAUUAGAGCUUUCUUCGGUCCUUAAACCAGUAUUUUUUGGCUAAUACCUUGGCAUAUGUGUAGGUAUUUUGUUGUUGUUGAUGACGUAUGGGAUAUAUCAGUUUGGAAAAUGAUUAGAUGUGCUUUGCCUGAUAAUGAUGUUGGAUAUACUAUUAUUACAACAACCCGUAUUUCUGAUGUUGCUGAACAAGCUGGGGGUGCUUACAACAUGAAACCUCUUUCUUUGAAUAACUCCCGAAAACUACUGUAUAGAAGAAUAUUUGGUAAUGAGAACAAAGACAACAAUGAAGAAGAAGAAAAAUGUCCUCCUGAGGAGCUGGCCGAAGUAUCUGACAGAAUACUGAAGAAAUGUGCUGGUGUGCCCUUGGCUAUUAUUACGAUGGCUAGUUUGCUAGCUUGCAAAGCAAGAGAUAAAAUGGAGUGGUACGAGGUGUGCAAUUCUGUUCGUACUGGUCUGGAAAACAAUCUAGAUGUGGAGAAUAUGAGAAAGAUAUUGUCAUUUAGCUAUUAUGAGCUACCAUGCCAUUUAAGAGCUUGCUUGUUAUAUUUGAGCAUGUUUCCUGAAGAUUAUGAAAUUGAGAAGGAUCGUUUGAUAAGGAUAUGGAUAGGUGAAGGUUUUAUCCAAUGUGAAAAAGCAGGGAAGAGCCUAUUUGAACUCGGAGAGAGUUAUUUCAAUGAGCUUAUAAACAGAAGCAUGAUCCAACCAAUACAUAGUAUUGUAAAUGGUAUGAUACGAGCUUGUCGUGUACAUGAUAUGGUGCUUGAUCUUAUCCGCUCCUUAUCAAGUGAAGAAAACUUUGUUACUGUACUAAGUGAUAUGGGAGGCACAUCUCCGUCAAAUACGAUGCGAAGGUUGUCCCUUCAGAAUGGCCAGGAAAGUCACGUGAUGGCUCAAGCUACAUGGAGCUUGCAACAUGCAAGGUCAGUUGUUGUCUUUCUAGCUGCUGCUUCUCUAGUGCCGCCUCUUGCUUGCUGCCGAGUUUUACGUGUUUUGGAUUUAGAGAACUGCAAUCUUUCACAAGCUAAUAGUAGCCUUAAGUACCUUGGGAAUCUGCAUCACUUGAGGUACUUGGGACUAUGUUUGACAGGUAUUUCUCAGCUCCCAGAAGAAAUAGGAAACCUGCAGCUUCUACAAACAUUGAAUGUAUGGCGCAACAAAAUUUCCAGGUUACCUUCAAGUGUUGUCCAGCUAACAAAGUUGAUGUUCCUAUACAUUGACGAUUCUACAAGAGUUCCAAACGGAAUUGGAAACCUGACAUGCCUUGAACAGCUAUCAGUGUUACGCAUUGCUGACUCUGACAUAAACAUUAUAGAAGAGUUGGGCCAGCUAACUGAACUGAGGCAGCUGUCCUUUUGGUUGGACAAGUGGAAUGACAAGCUGUUGGAGUGCCUAUGCAAGCUACAAAAGAUACAGGAACUAUAUAUCAUGUUCUCUCAUGAAUGCAACAUCGGCGGAUUGGAUGCCUGGGUCGCCCCUCGACAUCUCCGCGUAUUGAAUACGAUAUGCAGAGGUUGGUUUUCAACACUGCCGGCUUGGGUGAAUCCAUCACUUCUUCUGGACCUCACCAAUCUAAACAUCCCUGUGAGGGAGCUACAUCAGGCCGAUCUCGAAAUCCUCGGGAGGUUGCCAGCUCUCCGCUUUCUAUCUCUGAAGCUGGACAAUAAGAACCUCGGUAUCCUUGCAGGAUUCGUUGUUGGUGCUGGUGCGUUCCCGUGCCUUGUAAGAUGUUACUUCUGCCAAUUUGUGUGGCCAGUGGUAUUUCAACAGGGAGCUAUGCCAAGGCUCAGAGAGCUUAUGUUCUCGCAGUUUUAUGUGGGGGAGGCAAGAGGAAUUGCCUGCAAUGAUGGUAGUCUUGACUUGGGCCUGGGAAACCUGCCAUCGCUGCAGUUUGUCGAGGCUUACCUGAAAUGUGAUGGUGCUGGCAAGGAGGAGGCAGAGCAAGCCAAGGCUGCGCUGAUGCAUGAAGCUGAAAUGCAUCCCAAUCAUCCCUCACGUCAGAUCCAUAUUAUAGGUGCGCCAGCUCCUGAUUGUUAUUCCUUACUUGUCUCCUUCCCCCUUUCUUCUAAACUAUAUUUGCGUUUAUUCCUCUGUUUGAGAUGGUGGGAUCUCCAGCUGAUCUUUCACCACGCCUUUCUUCUAGCCCUUUUGCCUCAAUUCUUCUAAUCUUCCUUUUGUAUAUUUCGGUCUGAUAUACAGUUGACGAUGACGAUGAUGAUGAUGACGAGUAUGACGAUGAUGAUGACGAGUAAUAUAAGACUUUACGCUGGAAGGUGAAGCUGGAGCAGAGCAGAUGACAAAGUCCCUCUGUUUCGCCACGCAUGCAGAGGUUAAACUGCUCGGCCAUGAGCUUUACCAGACACCCUCAACAUGUGAGUAAACAAUGAAUGCUGCACACAUGAUCGUUUCUGCUGUGCAUCAACUGUUAUGGCAUUUCGUUGCAAGAGUGUAGGAUGACAUUGUCAGUGGAUAUGAUUGUAAUCCCUGACUAACUUCCCCCUCUGUACUCAUAUUGCCGUUUUAUUUUACUCAUUGCGAAGGGACUGAGCUAUCUCCUGCGCCCCUGAUCUAGUUGCCUUGUAUCGUCUCAGUGGUUCAGGGCCUUGGCUGUUUAUUUUGAUGAAUCUUUUUCAGAUUAAGUGAUGAAAAAUAAAAACAAGGUAUUUUUGGGUUAAUGUUGCAGCUUGUGACCGUAAUCAUCUUGUGAACCGUAAGCAUGGACGGCAGUACGUAUUCAUUGUUGCGCGGUUUCUGAUAUACUAGGCCAACUGUUAUGGCAUCUCGUUGCAGCUACGAUGCCCAAGACCACAUUCAUUCUGCAUCUCUCUGAAGAGAUUCUAGCUGGCUAGACUUCUAGUCCAUGAUCUUCUAGAGCAUCUCUGCAGCACCACCCUCUAUCCCUUCACGCCACUUGUAAAUACAAAUACACAUACAACUUGGGAGGUUGCAUGGACACCUUCCGUCCCUUCAUAUAUUUCUUUCACAAUCCUCUACUCAAAUUAGAGCCAACAAACACUCUUAGCCAAUAAACACUUCUACAUAGUUGGUACGAGCUAUUACGCCGGCUACCUUUUAUUAUAGCAAAGGUCGCAUUGAAUUGUAGGGUGCUACAAAUGGUGUCUAAUUGGCAUUGGUGGCCAUGAUGUAUCCGUGGAGUUGUGGCAGAUAAAUAACUCCAACUCUUUUGAGAACUCGAACCCUCGGUCUUCCUCCAGAGCUAUCUUGAAGCUUUCUCCUCCAAGCGCAGGGAGGAAUAGAACAGAGCAGAGAACAGCUGCACUGCAAAAGCGCUCUCUGCACUCCUAGGAAGACUGAUUGGACUGAGAAAACAUGUGGUUGGACUUUAGACUAGGGGAGCUAAGGUGAACGAUUGUUGACUAGGAAGGCAUGAGGUUGGACCUCUCAUUCGGUCCGCUAAAAGAACAAUUAUUGUUGACUAAGAAAACAUGAGGUUCGGCCUCAGAUGGAAUUUGUAAGGUCCAAAGGGCCACUUUCAUGUUUUCUCCAUUCUAGAGGAUCGGAAGCUUUGGUCAGUUUUGCAUUCAUUUCUUUGCAAAAGAAACGUACUCAGAUGCCUCCUAUGGUCUCCAUGGUUGGUUGCAAUCACCUAACUGAAUUAAUUGAACGAUAGAUAGAGCAUACUGUAAUUUUUUUAUCACCAAGGACAAAAGGAACGACUUCUACUGAACUGACCACACAGCAAAGAGGCCAAGGCCUGGUGGCCUUAUCGUCACGCAUCUCGCUACUAAGUAGUGAUCACACACCAAAUAAAAGCUAACCCUACGGGAAACCUCAAAGUCGCCGAGUGUAAAUACUUCGCCGAGUGUAUUAUUGCGGGCACUCGGCGAAGGACCGGUUUGCCGAGUGCAAUACUAAAAACACUCGGCAAACAUAAUACACUCGGCAAAGAGCCUAUUUGCCGAGUGCCACCAAAAAAACACUCGGCAAACACCCACGGGGCACUCGGCAAAGAUGGAGCACUCGGCAAACUGAUGGGCACGUGACUUCCCCGUGCCGCGACGGGCCGGCGCCGUGACGGACGUUAGGCUUUGCCGAGUGUCGACGGGGGGCACUCGGCAAAGCCACUAGUUUGCCGAGUGUUAUGAUGGGACACUCGGCAAACCUAUUAGUUUGCCGAGUGUCGUGAUGGCACACUCGGCAAAGUGACAAGUAUGCCGAGUGCUAGGGGGGAACACUCGGCAUACUAUAGGGUUUGCCGAGUGUCUUUUGACACACUCGGCAAAAAUAAUCUUUUUUCCCUCCUCCACCCUCCAAACUUUUUACACUCCACAUGUAUGGCAUUUGGCACUGCAUGGUAGAAGGUGGACUAUUUUUUGACCUGUUUGCUAUAUUUAAUUAAUUAAUUUAAUUUAGAGUAAUUUUUUGAUUUAAGUCAAAUUUGAACAGCAGGUGGUUGGAAUAAUGGAAUAAUAUGAGUGGAAAAAUCAUAUUCAUAUUAGUGAGUCCAAAUUGAGGUCUCACCCAGAAAAUGAAAAGAAAUUUUGAACAUUUUGCUAAGGAAACACGACUACGAACGUGCGGCCAAAUGAUUGUUUAAUUCUCAAAAAUACAAAUGAAGUUUGAAAAUCAUGAGAUUGUGCAAGAUGCUAUGAUUUCAUAUGCAGAGGCUGUGGUAAAAAAUUGACAAGGUUUCGCACAAGUUUUGACAUAUGAUGUUUAGAAUUCGAAGCAUCUCCGGAGAGGAUUCGUAGAAGUUGGAAGGAUCCGGUAAGAUUUUGAGACAAAUUGAUGCGAUUUUGAGACCCAUCCGAUGUUGAAGCCUGGAGAAGCUUUGAUGCGAUUUAUCCUGCAAAAGCUCUAGAGGCCCGUAACGUACGCGUUGCGUUGGCAACUGAUGGGUUCAAUCCUUAUGGAAUGGCGGCCGCCCCGUACACCUGUUGGCCCAUUUUCGUUAUCCACCUGAAUCUCCCACCCGGCGUCCUAUUUCAACGACAUAAUAUAUUCUUGUCGUUGAUAAUUCCAGAGCAUCCGGGGAAUAAUAUGAGUGUGUUUAUGGAGCCUCUGAUUGAUGAUUUGCUCCGUGCUUGGGAGGAAGGGGUAUGGACCUAUGACCGAUCCACAAAGACAAACUUCAAGAUGCAUGUUUGGUACCAGUACUCACUGCAUGACUUGCCGGCAUAUGGGAUUUUCUCCGGAUGGUGUGUUCACGGGAAGUUCCCAUGCCCAGUAUGUAAAGCAUCUUUGAAGUUCAUUUGGUUGUCGAAAGGUGGCAAAUAUUCUUCGUUCGACAAACAUCGACAAUUCCUCCCUCCUGACCAUCCAUUUAGACGAGACAUCAAGAACUUUACCAAAGAUGUUGUAGUUACAGCCCCCGCACCGCCGAUGAUGACAGGGGCUGCAGUUCGUGCUCUGUUAGACGCUCUUGAGGUCAAUAAUGAAGAAGGUGGUUUUUUGGGAUAUGGCGAGCAACAUGCUUGGACGCAGAAGUCGUGCUUGUGGAAGCUUCCCUAUUUUGAUGAUCUCCUUGUUCCACAUAACAUUGAUGUAAUGCACACGGAAAAAAAUAUCGCCGAGGCAAUUUUUGGUACAAUAAUGGACAUUCCUGACAAGACAAAGGAUAACGUUAAGGCUAGAGUGGAUCAAGCAACAUUGUGCAAUAGACCACAGCUAAACAUGGCACCUCCAAGAGCUGGCAAGUCAUGGAGGAAGCCUAAGGCCGAUUUCGUUCUGACAAGGGCCCAAAGGAGGGAGGUCCUAGAAUGGUUCCAAACUUUAAUGUUCCCUGAUGGCUAUGCAGCGAACUUGAAGAGGGGAGUGAAUUUAGCAACUAUGCGAAUCAACGGGCUCAAGAGUCAUGAUUACCAUAUAUGGCUUGAGCGCCUACUUCCGGUGAUGGUUCGAGGCUAUGUCCCUGAGCAUGUGUGGCAGGUGCUAGCGGAGUUGAGCAAUUUCUUCCGCCGGCUUUGUGCGAAGGAGUUAUCUCGUACCGUGGUUGCAGAAAUGGAAACAAUGGCGCCUGUGUUGCUCUGUAAGUUGGAAAAGAUCUUUCCUCCAGGCUUCUUCAAUCCAAUGCAGCAUAUGAUUCUACACCUCCCGUAUGAAGCACGAAUGGGGGGCCUGUGCAGGGUCGUUGGUGCUACUCAAUUGAGAGAUGUCAAAAGGUUCUUCGAACUAAAUGUAAGAAUAAGUGCAAAAUUGAAGCAUCCAUUGCAGAGGCAUACAUUCUGGAGGAGGUGUCAAACUUCACAUCGAAAUACUACGCUGACAACCUUCCUAGCGUGCAUAAUCCACCUCCUCGUUACAAUGCCAGCGAAGAUGAAUUAAGCCUUAGCAUUUUCCGAGGGCAACUCGGAAGUGCAAGUGGUGCGACCCGCAAGACCCUUAACCAUGAAGAGUGGUGCUCUAUCAUGCUGUAUGUGUUGACCAACCUAUCUGAAGUGGAGCCGUACAUGAUGUAAGUCAUCGACAAACUUGUUUCGACGUAGUCAUGGUAUCUCUUGCCUAAAUGUAUCUUUCUCGUUGGUAUAGGCAAUUUCAUCGUCAAUUCUGGCGUAAAUCAAGGCAACCGUAUCCGCACGAAGCUGAGACUCUUCUUAAAGAGGGUGCGGGAAAUGGAAUGCCCGAUUUCAUUUCUUGGUUCAAACAGAAGGUACAAUUUCAUUUCUUCGAACAUUCUCGUUCUCGUACAUACGAUUAAUAUAACGAACCGCCCUGUUUGAACUUGCAGGGCCGAACCGAUGCGUCUAUGAAUGUCGAGUUGAGACAGGUUGCCGAUGGCUAUGACUAUAGGGUCAGGUCAUUUGCUGGUUAUGACGUCAACGGAUAUAGGUUUCACACAACAAGGCACGAGCAGAGUCGGCCCAAUCGAAGAACCACAAAUACCGGAGUUUUCACGCCAGGCUCCGAUGGGCUCGAGUACUAAGGAAGAAUUGAAGAAAUAUACGAACUCACUUUUCAUGGGUGCAAACCUCUUAAUCCAGUUAUAUUCAAAUGCCAUUGGUUUGAUCCAUCUGUCGUGAGACGGGCCCCUAACCUUGGGCUAGUCGAAAUUCGACAGUCAUCCAGGUUACCAGGAGACGAUGUCUAUAUUGUGGCUCAACAGGCCACGCAAGUUUAUUAUUUGUCAUACCCGUGCCAAACCGACAGCCGUCUUAAGGGUUGGGAUGUUGUGUAUAAGGUAUCGCCACACGGUAAACUACCUGUACCAAACAAUGAAGAUUACAAUAUAGACCCCGACACGUACGAAGGAGAGUUAUUCCAAGAAGAUGGGCUCGAAGGGAGUUUUGUGAUAGAUUUAACCGAAGCGAUCGGAAUGGAAGUAGACAACGAGAGGGUUGCUGCAGAGGAUGGUGGAGACGAGGUUCAGAAUGUGAAGGACUUAGAAUUACUUCAACGAUUACAAUUAGCUAAUGACAGUGAUGACGACAUUCCUUGUUCGGAGCACGAGCUUGACUAUAUCGACACGCGUGAUAGUGAUGAUGAGACUUAUGAUCCAGCUAAUCCCGACAUUGUGCCUCAGCCACCCACGACUACUCCUGUGAGUCACUUGACACAUUGUGCUUAAGAUUUAAUACUUUAAAUUUGACAACUUUAGAUGUUAGCUCAGAAUGUCCUAUCCUAUGUGCAGAAUCAAUCGACUGCUUCGAAUAAUGAAGAUCAAGAUUUGUCGCAGUGGUCUCCUUGGCCUCCACGGAAGUAGACUUGGUUGUGAACAAUGUGGAAACUAAAUUGUGACAAGAACUUGGAUUUAUGGAUUAUUUCGUGCUUAUGUUGAAUUAUGCCUGUGGUGUUUAUGAAUUAUGCCUGUGGUUGUGAAUUAUGCAUGUGAUUGUUUAUUACAAAUGCCUGUGAUAUGUGUAUUGUGAAUUGAGAGGGGUCCGUUAUACGUGGCAAAAUGUCGAAAAAGGGGGGGUUCUGGUCACUUUGCCGAGUGUUACACUCGGCAAAGAGGGGCCUUUGCCGAGUGUUUUGGCUUUAACACUCGGCAAAGGGGCAUUUCCCAGGUGUAUGAAGGCUUGUUUGCCGAGUGCUAGGGACUAGGCACUCGGCAAACAAGGGGUCUUUGCCGAGUGCCAGGCGCGAGGCACUCGGCAAAGGCCCUAAUUCCCAGCCACGCGGGCAGGGGUCUUUGCCGAGUGCCCAUCCUAGCACUCGGCAAAGGGCCCGUCUUUGCCGAGUGCCCGGGACACGGCACUCGGCAAAAAAAGUCGGCUUUGCCGAGUGUGGGCCGUGACACUCGGCAAAGACUCGGUCUUUGCCGAGUGCCUCCCGUCUGGCACUCGGCAAACCCGCCGUUACCCCCGACGCCGUCAGUGCGUAUUUCGCCGAGUACAUCUUUUCGCCGAGUGUUUUUUGGCCGUCGGCAAAAUGUUUGCCGAGUGCUCGAGUUUUGACACUCGGCAAACUAGUCUUUGCCGACACAAAAUUUGUCGUGUGCUCUUUGCCGAGUGUUACACUCGGCAAAGCCUUUGCCGAGUGUUUUUGGGCUUUCGCCGAGUGCCUCUGGCACUCGGCAAAGCUUCUGUUUCCCGUAGUGUAACAGCCGAAGAAGGCAACGGAUGUCAACAAAGAUGGCAUGCAUGCAUGUUUCCUUGACUAUAUAUGACAUGGGACAACUAAUUUACAUUUAUACUGCUACGAGUUUUACAAUAUUAGUAAAAAUCUAUUUGGAUCCGAUGCUAAAUUUUAGCCGGCUAAAAAUUAGUCCUUAACGAUUUAAACGGUGGGGCUAAAGGUGGACUAAUUAUUAGCCAACUCAAACUAAACUAACGAUUUGGAUAAUUCACUACCACUACAACUACUUCCUCUAUUAUAUGCUUUUUGUAAAUGAAAAAUCAAGUUUUAUCGUACAGCUCACUUAUAAAAAUAACAAGGGACUCGAUUACUGGAAUGUUGACUCGCAUAUGAAAAGAACCUAAAAUCAUUAUUGUAAGGAAGUCGUACUACAAGAUGGUUUUAUACUUGUAUGUGGUUAUAUAUGUUGUUCGCUGGUCAAAAUAAAACAGCCAAACUAAUUAGUGUAUUUCUGUCAUAAUUAUAUGUAGAUGGGAUGAGAGCACUGUUUCGCUUCUACCACAAUACCUACGCAUGUUCUACAUCAAAACAUUGAGUAACUUCAAUGAAAUUGAGGAUACUUUGGAACCGCACGAGAAGUACCGCAUGGAUUAUGUCAAAAAAGAGGUGUGGCUUUAUAGUCAAAUAGUCAACUAACAACUACGUAACUUCUGUAGAAACCUGACAAACAUGAACAGUGGUUUAGAUCCUCUCAAUUUUAUUAAUCCCAAACUUAUUUGCGUACAACGUUUUUGAUUUUGCAGUACAAAUUGCAAUCAAAAAAUUCCAUCCAACAGGCUAAAUGGUUCAAUGAAAACUGCACGCCCAGCUUCAAAGAACAUCUGGACGUGUCACUUAUGGCGACGGGUUUGCCGUUGCUGUUCUUCACAGCUCUGAUGAGUGCAGGCCAAGUGAUAAGCAAUGAGGCAUUCGAGUGGGCACUUGACAUGCCUGACAUGUUUUAUGCCAAUAUAGAAGUGGGUUGCUUCCUCAAUGACAUCGCUUCUUACAAGGUACUAUAUCGAGUUCAAAUAAUAGUCUAUCUAUUUUUAAAUAUUUGACGCCAUUACCUUUUCAUUCUUUUGGCUAUUCAUCUUUUGUAUAAACAUAAACAUAUGAUGCACGAUUUAAAGCACUUUUGAUGAGAGGUCUAGUGUUACUUAUUUCGCUUUACUUAAUGAAUUAAUUCAAUAACCAUUAUUGGUCAAAGUUUGAGAAAAAGUCACCUUAGAAGGUAUUUCAAUCAUGGAGGUAUUUAUAAGACCAUUGUUGUUAUUUUUAUUGAUAACAAAUAUUAGAAAAGCAAUGGACAGACAUGCAGUACAUUCCAAACCCCUCUGACAUCAUAAACAGCAAAAUGAUCUACUACCUGCUUGUAUCGGAAAAAUAUGACAUUCAGUGCCCGGAUGGAUCUCUAUGUUACUGCAUAUGCACGCACCUAACAUCACAAAUACACAUAUCUUUGCGCGCAGCAAGGGAAGUGCGAGAAGGAUGUGGCCAGCACUGUGGAGUGCUACAUGAGGGAAUACGGCACGACUGGGGAAGAGGCGGUGGCAGCGAUCACCGGGAUGGUGGAACAUGCGUGGAGGAGGAUAAACAAAGCUUGCAUAGAGGUGAAACCUGCAGUAGAGCCGGUAGUGCAAUGUUUGUUGAACACGACGAGGGUGCUAGAGGCCUACUACCUUCAUGGCAGGGACGGCCUCACCUAUGGCCGUGACCUCAAGGAGCUCAUCACCUUCCUCUUCCUAAAGGAUGUCCAUGUCUAAGUUUGUUAUUUGCAUCAGUACGACAUAUAAUGUACUGCAUAUAUGCAAUUGUUAAAUGUGAUGCUUGUGUCGAGAAUAAUAAAAACAAUGGUGCCAACCUAGCUAACUGGUCGAGCCUCGUCACUCGGUUCAGCCUGCCAUUGGCUUAUCUUCUGAACUUAAUCUUUUACAUAUAUGAUAUUGUGAUCUGCUCUCAUUUACUGUCAGACUUAUUACGUGUUUAGCUCUUGAUCUGCUCUCACUUGCCUAUGCCGCUGCUCUGUCGUCAAUUUGUCACAUGUCCUUUCACUGUGAUACGAUUACAUUUUGUUGGGUGCAAUCAAUUUAUUCCGUUCUGUUCUAAAAAAAACUUCCGUUCAUAGGACUAGAUUUGCACGAGCAAAUUCCCGUUCAAAUUCGUGCAGCUAGAGGAGGCACGAGUUGUCAUUAGUCAAUACUUAGGUAGCUGCAGUUCUGAUGAGCAUCUACUGAAACUCUGUUCUCUUUGCAGCUACUCUGUUUUCUUCGAACCCUGCUUGAUUCAGUACCAACACAAGACAGCUAGCCGGAUCAGGUAGCCUGGUCGCUCUACUACAGAUGAACCUCUGAACAUUAAUUUCCUCUAUUUCUAUAAAUCGUGCAGUUGUUCAACAAUAAGAAACCAACUAAUUUCAUCAUGUUUAUUCAAAAAACGGCUGGCUUGUGGAAAUGCCCAAAUUGAUGGACUAGAAUGUUGAGCACGAAGUUUGGGAAAAGAGUUAAUCACAGAACUAGAGUUGGCAUGCAUGAAUCAUGAUGCGACUUAGAUCUACUUGUGUAUGUCCAAUUGCAUCAAGGAAAAGAGCUGCUCCAGAGCUAUUUGAAGCUUUCUCCUCCAAGUGCAGGGAGGAAUAGAACAGAGUAGAGAACAGCUGCACUGCAAUGGUGCCCUCUUUCUCGGGCUGUGACUGUGUGUAAUAUUCCAAAAAUUUGAUAUAUUAAUUUGAGUGAGCACUUCUCAUCUCAUCUUCCAUGGUUUCAAGCUAUUUCGAUGAGUGAGCGCUUCUCGUGGCUUCUUCAAAUGAGAUGGGAUCUCCCUCCAUUUGAACUUUUUCACUGACAUAGACUUCAUAGUCAUUAAGAAUAGCUAGUUUUCUAACUCUUUGAGACCUUCUGGGGGCCUCAACAUUUGGCACAUCUUCCAUGUGGGGCUGUUGCAGCUCUUCCUCAUGUGUGACAACAGGUUCUAUAGGAUCCUGAAGGACUGGUUCCUCAUCUUCAUUUGUUGUUGCCACGGGAGAACUAACAACAGGUGUUGUCACCGUAGUGUCCUGCACUGUCGGUGCAGCAGCAACUGGUUUCAAGAAAAAAUGUUCCUGAAUCAUCAGAGUAGGUAUGUAUAACCACUUCUCCUCAAGGCUAAUUUCUUAGGGUAUCGUGCUCCCCCUGAUCAUCUCAUCCUCCAAAAAGAUAUUGUGUCUCAUUUCUACAAACUUAGUAUGUCUAUCAGGAUAGUAGAAACGAUAACAUUUGACUUAUCUGGGUAGCCAAUGGAAUAGCAACUGAAUGCUUAGGAUCUAAUUUCCCAAUAUUUUUGUUAAACACUUUAGCCUCAGUUGGACAGCCCCACACAUGCAAAUAAUUUAGUGAGGGCUGUCGUUGAGUCCACAAUUCAUACUGUGUUUUGGACACUGACUUACUGAGAACUCGAUUAAGAAUGUGAACGGCAGCUUUUAACGCCUCCAUCCACAUACUGAUCGGCAAAGUGGAGUAACUUAUCAAACUCCUCACCAUAUCCAUUAAGGUACGUUUACGUCCUUCAACUACUCCAUUCUGCUAAGGCUCACUGUCACACCCUAAAUUUUUCAAAUUUCAGGAUGUGAUUAAAAAGAGUAAUUGAACAACGAUUUUCUCAUAAUUUUAAAAUUUUCCCAAUAUUUAUUUUUCUUUACAGAAAAUUUAAUAUAGGAAAAAUAACUGUUUGCUUUUCUAAAUUAAAUAAUGUUGUUCUAUGUCUGUGCAUUCAUGUUGAUGCAUCUUGGUGUUUCUUGAGUGCAAAAAGUUUUAAAAAUGCGUUUAGACGUUGUCUAGAUUCUUUUGAGAAUUUUCCAGCUUUUUCUGAAAUUUAUUCUCCUUUUCCUAGAGCUAAAUCCAAUUGUUGGAAGGUUCUAAAAUCCUUUUCACGAGCUCCAAGUAUUUUAUUUGGAUUCCUUGCAUCCCAAUCUACCUAUGAGAUUUAUCUCAGAUUUUUUGGAAUUUCCUAGAUAUUUUUCUCGCUUUAGAAAACAAGUUCGCCUAUUUCUGGAUUUGUUUUCACGCAGAUAAAAUUAUGUUAGAAAUUCUGAAAAUAGAAAAGUCAACCCGAAAAUAUCUUUUUUCGAGUCUGGCCUAUAUAUAUAUAUAUAUCACCGCGUUCGUCACGACGCGAGGAUUUCAGAUCUACAAACCUUUUCACGAGUUGCCUCUCCUAACUCCGUAGAUCUGAAGUCAAAGAUCGAUCUUCGUCAAACUCCUUUUCUGGCGAAACCGUGGACUUCCGGCGAAAACCGAGACCACCAUGGAGUUCCUAUCUUCGAGCUCUACGCCGUGGUGUGGUGGAUUGCGUGAAUCCAAUGUCGGCUCCGUCAUCUUCCCCAACUCCGGUGAGCUUUUCCGCCGCCAUUGUUCAUCUCUAGCCGAAGGUGAGCACAGUAUCUUGUUCGUCUCGUCGUUCUCGUUCCAUUUUGCCGUUCAUGCGCGAGAUCGGGCUUCGUUUUCGGUGAUCCCCUCUUUCUCUCUUUUUCUUGUUUCUGCAACCGUAACAGACCGUGCUCUGAUCGCCCUGCCCCUUCUGUUUCUGCUCGCAGGUGCCGCACUGUCCGCCGCCUGGCUCUUGGCCGAGCUGCCGCCCGCGCCUCAUGCGAGCGCCACCGCUGGGGCCAGCCGCCGCCGCCGUCAGGCCUGGCCGCCGGUCGGAGGUCCCAGGCUCGGUCACGAGAUUGACCGGAUGGGAGGAUGAAGAAGAUAAGCUGAGUUUGCAGAUGGAUCCCCGGAGAAAUAUGUAAUUAGUUAAACUUUUCUUGUGUCUUGGCAACUUUACAUGAAACCCCUCAAUCUUUUCGAUUCUUUUCAAUCUAAGCCGAGCCUCACACUUUUAUGGAUCUAACCUUUCUAUUUCUGUUAUUUGUGAGCACUAUUCUUGGUGUCUUGCAAAUUUUUCUUGCUCACCCCUAAGGUCUAUGGUUAAUUACGUUUAGGCCCCUACAACCUCGUUUAACCCUUAGAUUCCACGUUUGAGCUUCGUUUAACCUCGUUCAAGUUACGUUAGAUGCAUAAUAAUGUAAAUCACACGAUAGUGGUAAUGUUUACCUCCAUGCAUUUUUUUGAAAAUAAAUUUUAUGUUAAAUUGAUUAAUGUUUGAAAAACGAGUUCUUCUCUAAAUAAAAUAUAUUUAGUGUUAUACACUAUUUUUCAUAAUAAUUGUUAAUUUUAUUAAUGCCUACUUCAUACCCUCUUCUAAAUAAAAGUCAAUUAGGUUAUAUAUCGGUUUUUCAUAAACUAAACUUAAUUUGAUUAAUGCCUAUCUAAAUAAUUCUUCCAAUUAAAAGCCACUUAGAGUUAUACCUCGGCGUUUCAUAAAUUAAAUUCAAUUUGAUUAAUGUUUAUUCAAUUUGUUUUCUAAAUAAAAGCUACAUAGGUUAUAUCUCGAGUUUCGUAAUUAAAUGUUAAUUUGGCUAAUAUGAAUAUAAAUGUGUUUUUAAAUUAUAAUUUGGUUAGUUCAACCCGAAUCAUAAAGCUAUGCGCUUAGAUGUUUAUGUGUACUAUAUGUUUAAAAUAAAUGUUUAAUUUGCAUAAAUUAUACUUAAAUAUUUCUAAAUAAAAUUGGGCUAAGCUUUACACCAUCUUUUCUUAUGAAAAUAUAAAUAUGACUUGAUUAAUUCUAACUAAGGAUAUUUCUCUGAAAUAUCUUUACAUUGUUUUUCUCAACUAAAAUAAAUGAAGCUUGUAACUCUCACCUUUCUUUUAAAAUUCAAAUCUUUCGAUAGUUUUAUCUUUUCAACCAUAGUUCCGUUGUAAGCGUUCCUGCGUCCGCGUAAUCCUAGAAUCGAGCCAUGUCCUUUAGUACGCUCUUUUAAAGCCUGUCUUUUGUUUUGGUGCAUUGUUCUUAGUUGUACUUGUUUGUUGCUUGUAUGUUUGUGCCGAUGUUUGCUCCAAGUAGAAGGAUCGUUGUUCCGAAGUUUUGAAGAGUAAGAGUUUCAAGAAAGCAAGAAGCUAAAGAGUAGUAAGAGUAACUUUUCGUUGGAGAAAGGCAAGUAUCCCUAACCAUUCCUCUACCUAUGCUUUGUUAAUAAUAUCAUGAUAAUGUUUAAUCAGAACAUGGAGCGAGCACCUAGGAAAAUAGUGCUACCACAAGACUAAAUGGCUCUGAUCUUGGCUGAAUAAUUAGAAACUCUAGUCUGGGGUAAGCUUACCGAAAGGGCAAGAGGGGAGGCGUUGAUGGGGUAUAACACUCGCUCUCUUGGGAAGUGGGCUUUGCUAAGACACUGUACCCACUAGGGGACUGUUAUGCUCUGCUUCGACCUUAAACCUUAGCGGGUUACCACUUACUAGCGAAUCUUUGUAAAGGCCUCGUAGCGUCCCUAUGCAAUCACACCUCGGAAGUGUGGUAUGGUGCCUAGCUAGCACCGCAUGGUUAGGUUCAAAGUUCUUUGAAUUUUUACGCGACUUGUGGGUAAAGAUGUGCCACCUCUGCAAAGUGUAAAACUGAUCGAUCAGCCGUGCUCACGGUCAAGAGCGGCCUGGACCCUCACAUGAUUAAUUAAACUUAAAGAUGGACUUAAAUCAUAAAUUCUAGUUAUUUCUUGUGGCCUUGCUGAGUACCAACCAUAAGUGUACUCACCCUUGCUUACUGCUGCUCAGAAGAAGAAGUUGUAUGAAGCAUUCCAAAGAUGAUGCUGAGUUUUAGUCGUACGCAACCCCAGUCGAUUGCCUGUGAAGUUUGGAGCCUCCGUUUCUAGUAUUUAAGCUAUGUAUCUCUGAUGGUUUCGUAAGUCUUUAUUUGUUCUUUUACGUGAUACUAUUACUGUUAUUCACUGAUGAUGUCACUAUAUAUAUGAAACUAGAUUCUGGCAUACAUAUAGGUAGCACUUGGUUUUGUCCUUAAAACCGGGUGUGACACUCACUCGGUGUAGAGUACUCGGCAACUAUGCUAUUUUACUGCAGAAACCUUGUAAAAGGUCCAGGAACUUGGCCGUAUGGGGUAUGUCCACCGUAGUACUCCUCCCCACGGUCGGAUCUUACUAUUUUAAUCUUCAAACUAUGCUGAUUUUCUAUUUUAACCUUGAAUAUCUUGAAUUUAUCCAACGUUUCUGAACGUUUCUUAAUUGGAUAAAUGUAACCAUAACAUGAAUAAUCAUCUGUGAAUGUUAUUAAACAAUCAUAACCAUCCACAGAUGUCACAGAAAAGGACAACAGAUAUCUGUAUGAAUUAUUUCUAAAAUUUUUGUGCUUCGUUUGGUGUGUUUCUUAAUUAUCUUAACAAACUUUCCCUUAAUGCAGUCGAUGCAUUGCUCUAAAUCUGAAAAUUCUAAAAGCAGAAGAAUUGAUUCUUUAAUCAACCGUUCAAUUCGACCCCUUGAAAUAUGGCCUAAAUGGAAGUGCCAUAAUUUCGAAGAUAUAUUAUCAAUUCUUUUCCGCUUAUUUCUUACAUUCAUAGAUGAGGAGGCAUUCACAUUCUCAGCGCUUACAACAUUCACAUUAUCACAAAGUGAUAACAAAUAAAGCUCGUCUUGUCUGAAGGCAAGACCAACAAUCUUAUUAUUAAACUUGUUUUUACAUUGUCCAUUACCGAAAUGACAAAUAAAACCAUCAUCGUCUAAGCGCAAUACACUUAUUAAGUUUCUACUCAAAGAGGGUACAUAAAGAACAUCUCUCAGAUGAAGUACAGAACCAUUUGCUAAUUCUAAUGGGAGUUCUCCAAUGGCUUCGGCUUCAGCUUAGACGUCAUUUGCAACGUUAAUGCUUCUUUCUCCUCUUUGCAGGAUCCUCCUCAUAUGGAAUACCUGCAAUGAAUUUGCAACAUGAACAAUUGCACCUGAAUCAAUCCACCAAGUAGAUGUUGCAUAACUUAAAUAUAAGGACUCAUCUACGAAUGUAAUAAGGUCCUCACCUUUCUUACAUAGAAACCUUAGGAAUUCUACACAAUCCUUUUGGUAGUGUCCCUUCUUCUUACACCACUUGCAAGUGUCUUUAUCCACCACCUCUUCAUUGGAAGUCUGGCCGUGAGUUGUAAUUAACAGCAAAAGUCUCAAACUCUUUGGGUAGGGAGGUAAAGAUCAGAUGGACUACAAACUCAUCUGGGAGCUCCAUGUCCAUAGGCUUAGGCUUGGAAGCCAUAUUACUCAUUCUCAAUAUGUGAUCCCUUAUUCCAUCGCUAUUAUACUUCAUAGUAAUAAGCCUCCUAAUUAAUAAGAGUGCUUGCACAUGCCUUUGAAGAGCUAGUAUACUUCAUACUCUGGUAUUGCUCCCCUUAUUGCCUCCAAAAUGGAGCUCUUAAUCACUAUCAUGUACUUUAUAUUUCAUUGGUCCCACUUCACACGAUCAAGAUCGUACUGCAUUCUAAUUUGCAUGAUCACGCACCUGAGCAUUGAAAACAUCUUCGCUCUCAUUCUCAGCCCUCACGGGGUCCUUAGGAGCUAUACGAUCAGUCAGUGCUAGAUCAAUAUAAGAUAGUGCAAGCGCUAUCUCAACCUUCUCUCGUCAUGAGCUGUAAUUCCCUCCAUUGAGCGGCUCUAUGGAUGAGAUGUAGCUCAAAAGAUUACCUGAAAACAAAAAUUCAGAAAAAAUUGAGUCAAUUCAACGUUGGUUAAAUUAAAACAUAAAACUUCUCAUUAUUAGUUCCAUAUCACCGUUGGGUAGAAAUAGAGUCAACAAUGAUAAGAAAAAACUUAUUAGUACAACAAUUUUAUCAACAAUGUUGGUCAGUAGAUAAAAUUAUCAUACUCAGAAAUUACUUAUUUUCUGAUUAAUUUUCUCGUUGAUUCCGAUUUAAUUAGAUAAUAGACUAAAAACUUCAACUUAAUGCAUAAAAUUGGCAAAAUAAAGCCAAAAAUUCAAAUUAACUUAAUCUUAAUACAGAAAAAGCUUAAACUUAAUUUGUGAAUUUUACCCACAGGAAAAACACCUUAAAACUAAUUUUAUUUGAGCCACUAAUUCAAUUUCCAAGAACACGGCAAAAUUCACUGGAAAAAGAAAAAAAACAGAGGGCUCAAAUUCUUCUGUGCUUCCGGCCUAACCGCACAGUGGCCUGGUCCGUCUUGGCCCACGCCUGGCAAAACCGGCCCAGCAUGCACGACGCAAAAAAGCGGCCUAGCACGCGUCGCGGCCCAGUCUUCUCGACUCCCUGGGCCGAAACUUUACUAUUGGUCCGAUCUUCGAAGCAAAACGACCCGGCCUACCUGCGCGCUCAUCACGCUCCCGUGUCCCAGGCCGCAACCUAGGCCUGGGCUGGGAAUCUGCCUUCCUGCCUGGGCCAAAUCGCGGCCCAAAUGAUCUGCGUCGUUGAUCUCGAUCGGACGGUCGUCCGACGUUUUUGGCCGCUCAAAACCGCUCAUCGCUAGCUCCCGGCCGCAACCCUAGCAUCCGUGCGUUCCUUUAUCCACCGCAACCAUGCGCGUGCGAGCGAGUGCGCUAGUAACCGCCGGCGAGCAGCGGAGCACGAGUGAGCGCCGACAAGUGCAGCCCCGGCCCACAGCUUCCCUUCGGUGGUCCCUCAGGGAGGUGGCGGUGCCGCCGCCGAUCCCCUCGCCGGUGCGCGCACUCGCCCUAGGGUUAGGGUAUCAACGGCGGCGGCCAGCGAGUUGUAUCCGGCGGCCGUCGCCCAUUGAUUCGAUUCGAAAUCACCUCCUUCUAAAUUCUUUUGGUUACCAAUCUUCCCUGACUAGAUCUACAUUCUAGUAUGGUUCUGAUGCCAUUGAUAGAUUCGUAGGAUCUCUAGAUGAAAAACUAGCGGGUCUACAGCUUAAACUAAGAUUAAAACAAUGUGAUUCAUGUAUAACCAAGAGCAACAGAGGGAGAAAGAGAGAGAGGUAGAGUGCGCGGGUCACCAACCAUCAGGCUUGGAGGAGGAGCUCGCCAUGGCGGUGAUGACGAGGUGGGCGGCGGCGGCGCAAGGAGUUGGUGGAGCUUCCCGCCGGUGACAGCAUAAAGUAGAUCGGGUUCUAUGUUUGUAGGUGGGUCUGGUGGGCACGGCGACGGACUUGUGUGUGCGUGCCCCCAGCCCCCACCUCUCUUUUAUAUGUGCUGCGCGACGGGGGCCCACAACCACGAGUUGGUUGUGCGCUGCGACCAGGGCGCGAGAUAAGGGCUCCGACUCGGUCGUUGGACCGAGUCGGGGUUGAGAUCAAACUAACACUUGGUCGCAGCGGCGUCACAACAGUUGCCAUAGAUGGCUAAGAAGUUUUUUACCAAGCACAUAGGCAGUCUAGUUUACAUGUUCAUUGUUUUUUCUCUUUUCUAGCUUGUAACUGUAUGAUCGGAUGAGCUGUUUGAAGAAGCAGCUCAAACUUAGACAGACUCUGUUGAUUUUUUUUUUGAAAGACAAAAAUUAAAUUGAAACUCAUGGUUGUCAUACAAUACCCAUCUGAAGAAAAAACGCCACUAUUUCACAUUUUGAUAUUGCAAACUCCUAGCAAAAUUAGUCCCAUUCAAACAUGAUAAAUCUUUCCAUUUCAGGGCCGCAAAAAGCUGAAGAUGCUCGAUCUCACAUUUUCACUACUUUUGCGGUGAAAUUGACUUGUGAUUUCUAUGAACUGAAGGCAAAUGGAGCAGCUCGAUUCCAAUCUGGUGCAAGUGAGCAAGGAAGCCUACAUCUCAUGGAAGGUGAUCAAACAUCAUACGGGCUGUAAUGUUGGCUGGACAUUGUCCAGCUUUUCCGUCAACUUCUAGAGCAAAAACUGAAAAUGGCAUAUCUGUGUGCCACACUCACAUAGUUGUGCAUGUUCUCUGCACUUGUAAUGUUGUACAAAUGAAUUUGGUUCUGGCAGAAUGUUAGCUGAUUGUGAUGAUGUAGAUUUCCUAUAUAUUUAGCAGUAGCAGUUGUAACCUUCAAUCAACUGAUGACACAUUGCUUGAUGCAUUGGAGUAUUGGACUGUAUGUGCAGGAAUGCUUGCUCCUACAGAGAAUUGGAGCAAGAGCCUUGGGAAUCUGACAAGCAAGAAGCCAGGGCAGUGCCUUGGGAAUCUGCUGCGGGUGCAAGCAAGGCAAUCAGCAGCAAUGGUGGCGCCUCCUGUGGUAGCGCGAAGAGGGCUUUGAGGAAGUGCAGCCUGGGCAUCUUCCGCCUGCAAUCACUCAACAAACCAUGACAGUGGCCUACUCUGCAGCCGGCCAUGGCGGAUAGCCGGACGAUGGCUAAGGGAGGUGGACGAUGAAAAGGCACGUCCUAGCUGCGAUCGUGACGGUGGGAGGUGGACGAUCAAAAGGUGCGUCCUGGUGGCGGGAGGUGCCGGAGGGCGCUGCGUCGCUGCCGUCGCCUAUCACUGCACUUGGACGCGGUGAAUCACGGGCGUGCCUCCGCUCCUUGCGGCGUGAUAGAGAGGAGGCGGUUAGGAAACUGGUGCUAGGGAUUGAGCGGGGACGGGCCAGUCGGUUCGGAAGGCAGGAAGGACGCCGGAGUCGGGUGGCGGAGGACGGGCGUGAGGAGACGGACCGGAGAUGAACGGCUACGGAGAAGAAAGGCACGUCUUUGUAAAGUAGUAGGGGCUUUUCUGCCAAACAAUCGCAAUCCAAUCUAGAAGCAUUUUGUAGUAUUCGAUCGCGAUUAAUAGUUGCGAUCCAAACCCCCUUGGUUUGUAAAACAUCGUGCCGGCGACAUGGCCGCCGCCGAUGCCCGGCUGCCGUCGGCGACCCCCGCCGUGCGUCAUGCGCCGCCGUCAUGGUUGCCAUCAACGCAUCUGAACAAGAAACACCACCAUUUCACGUUUCGGUGUCGCCAACAAACACGCUGAUGCCAUGCAAAACGAGCUCACGCAUGAAUCUGGUGUGUACUCAUGAUGGAUGAAUGGUGAAGAAAACUUGUUGGAUGACCCGCACCAACAAAUGCAUGCUUACAAGGUGUAACACCCAAAAAUUUAAAGAAUUUAAAUUCACUAAAAUUUGCUCGAUUAGGAUGUCAUUUAAAUUUCUAGGCAUUUAAAUUUGCAUUUUCUCAAAUUAAGUGAAUUCACCAUAGGAGUUUAUUGUGCAUGGUGCAUAAUUUUUGGUUGCUUGUGUUUGAAUCAAAUUUAAUCCUCAAGUUCAAUUUCCAUUUUCAAAACCUUUCUUUUUCUCCUUUCUCUUUCUCCUCUUGGGCUGCAUUCUUCCUCCUCCUCCUCUUUCAGCCCGGCUCCAAUCCCCUGCAGCCCAGCGCCAUCAGCUCCACCAGCCUGCUCUACCUUUUCCACCGACCCACUCCACCUUUUUCCUCGGCCCGCGAAGCUGCGCUGGCCCAACAGCUGCGCCAGCACGUCUUCCGCCCGUGGGCACCGACAGGUGGGCCCCACCAUCGUCUCCCACCUCCGGCCGGGACUCCUGCUUCGCCCCGCAACUGCCGCGUGAGGUCUCCACUUGGGAGCCGCCUCCCGGCCGAUUUGAACGCACCCAGUCCCUAUCCCUUGACGCGCAAGCCACUGCCUAUUCGCCCCUAUAUAAGCGCCCCCCCCGGCCUCAGGCAUCUAUCAGCAACAACCCCGAACCCUAGUAGCGCCGCCACCCAAGCUUCGCGAGCUCGCCGCCGCAAACCCGUCACCAAAAGGUGAGCUCCGCCACGCCAUGUCUCUCGCCGAAGCCCCAAACGAGUUCGCCGCGUGCCCCUCAUGCUACCCGUGUUCCUCGCGUGUCGAACCGUGGCCGGAAGCUCGUUUUCGAGCAACUCCAGCGAAUCGCCGCCGCUUGCAGCCUGAACCACCGCCGCUCGCCGCCCGUUCCGCUGCCGCCGGCGAUCGCGACUGUCGGAUCUAGAUCCGACGGCCCUCAGUCAACCGAUCGGGUAGCGUACCGGUCAACCGCGCCGCACUGCUGCUCUUUUGUACUUAAGCCCUCACCUUUUCCGCAAAUCAACCCGCAGUCCAACCUAGUUCAAAAGUGAUUGUGUUUUGGUCCUAUUUUCUUUUGCUUAAGCCCCUGAGUUCCUCUAAAAUCAACCCUCCAUCCUAAGUUGCGUUUUUGCAUGUUAAACCUUCGGUUUAUAUGCGUAAUUAUGUAUAAGUCCUUGAUUUUUCGCAGUUUAACCCUAGAAGUUUUGUGUUCUCGUAGAAAAACCCCUGGAUCUUGUUUUAAUCAUAUCUUUUGCAUCUUAACUCCGUUUUUCGCGUUCUUCAUAUCCAAGUGUUUGUUUUAAAGCAUAGAUUAAUCUUUUGAGCUUGUUUUCGAUGUUUAAUUGUGUUUGGAGUACUGUUUUCUUACUUUAUGCCUUUGUUUGCUUGUAUGUGCUCGUGUGACGUGUGUAGACGUUCAGCAGUUCGAGGGAUUUGAAGAUCAAGCUUUCGAGGAGUACGAACAGAAAGAGCAAGGCCAAGAAGGCAAGUCGUGUCCUUGAUCACUAAUCUUCAGUCCUAUACACCUUUUCUUUCUUGUACUCAACAACUAUGCUAUGCACAUGAUAAGUUUAAAUUGAUGGGUCCCAAUUAAGGAUGACUAGUUUUAAUUACCUUUGCCUUGACCAACCAGGUUUACUUUUAUGUUGGGUAGCUCAUGCUUAGCGCUUACUUGGGAUAUGGUGGUUUAACUGAAUUCCAUGAUUAAUCUUGCUUUACUUCUGUUAUACCUUUCAUUAAUGCAAGAUUACAAAUGUUUAAUCGGAACAUGGAGAACCACCCAGAAAAACAGUGCUACCACAAGACUAAAUGGCUCUGGUCUUGGCUGAAUAAUUAGAAACUCUAGUAUGGGGUAAUCUUACCGAAAGGGCAAGAGGGGAGGCGUUGAUGGGGUAUAGCACUCGCUCUCUUGGGAAGUGAGCUUUGCUAAGAUACUAUACCCACUAGGGGACUGUUAUGCUCUGCUUCGGCCUGAAACCUUAGCGGGUUACCAGUUACUAGCGAAUCUUUAUAAAGGCCUCAUAGCGUCCCUAUGCAAUCACACCUCAGAAGUGUGGUAUGAUGCCUUGCAAACACCGCAUGGUUGGGUCCAAAGUUCCUUUGAACUUUUACGCGACUUGUGGGUAACGAUGUGCGACCUCUGCAGAGUGUAAAACUGAUCGAUUAGCCGUGCUCACGGUUAAGAGCGGUCUGGACCCUCACAUGAUAAUACUACCGAAAGAUGGACUUAAAUUGUUGUCAUUUCAUGCAUAUGUUGUUUACUUUAUUCAUGUUCUUGUUUAAUUUCGGGUGGUAUAAACUUACACUUAGUUAAUUGCUAAUAAAAUUUGACCAACCUAAUUAAAAGCUGACGCUGAUUUAGCCUUGACCAUACCUUAAUUGGCCUUACACUACACUAUUCCCCACGACUUGUUGAGUACCAACCAUAAGUAUACUCACCCUUGCAAAACCGAUGUUCAGACCAAGAUAACUUGGUGGAGUACAUUGACAACUUUGAGGAGUUCUAGGUGUACGGUUCUUCAGUCAGCUGCUUGUGGUGUCGUCAUCGUCUUCGGAGUUUGCUGCGUAUUUAUUUAAGUUCGUGCUUAUUUGAGACUUUCGGUCAUGUAAUAAAUGUUUAAUACUCUCUCUAUUCGCUUUAGCACGGUCUUUGUUAUUCACUUAUGUCAUACAUGUGUGUAACUUGAUCCUGGCGCACAUGUAUUGAAUGCACUCGAUUUUGUCCUUAAAAUUGGGUGUGACAUAAGGCUAUUAUAUAUACUCCCAAAGUCUUGGAUGUCACUGAGUAACAUGUAUUUCUCUUGCAAGCAGCUGUGCACAUUAGCCAGAGAACUCUGAAGUGUUGGAGGAAACCAAAUUACUAUGAUGAGUCUUGACUUGUGUAGCCAAAUGCAUCCGCCGUAACUCGGCAUUCUUAGUGGCCAUCUUCCGCCCGUUUAAAUCAUUUUUUCGCAGUUAUCUACUCUCAGCAGAGUAAACAAACCUGUUUAGCCAUCAGACACUUCUACAUAUGAUGGUACAUGUCAUUAUGGCAGGUGCCUUUUAUUGUAUCUAAGGUUGCAUUAAACAAUGGCAUGAAGCCCAUGGUAUCUAAUUGGUGCCGGCGGGUAUGAUGGAUUUCUGGUCUCACGGCUUGACGAACAAACUGGAGGAGAAACCCGCCAUUAAGCAUUUACUCCUGCUUGUAUGGUUUGGUUAAGUUUUAGAGACUUGAGCCAGGAAGUCUGAAGAUGCCGCUUCUUAUGGACAGGAGAUAUUCAUACUCACACUUCCGAGGUGCUCUGAUAUAACAGCAUAAUUUUCGUAGGAUAAUGUUAAAUGUUACAACCUUGCAUCAAAAAUGAAGAUUUGAUGAGCGCAAGUAUGGAUGCACAUUUUCUUUUCAAAAACUAAGCCCUGCAUGUGGUGUUUUCAUGUUUCCCAUCAUAAAAAAGAAAAUAAAAAUAACACGAGAAAUUGAAAUUAAUUUCAAGAACAUUCAAAUUUUGCGUGAAUCAUUAUAUUUCAUGGUCCAUGUGCUCUCAUGAUUUUUACGUGAAUUGGCAGCAUAAUUUCUAAUAGCUAGGGUACAAUACCAAAACACAAAAAAAAUGAAAUUGUUUUCAAGAUUGGUCGACUUUUCUGUGAAUCAUUAUAUUACACGUGCCAUGUGUUUCUUCUCAGCGUGGUCUCAUGAUUUUCGACAAGCUAAACCUUACAGGUGGUCUUUUCUUAUUUCGUGUCAUAAAAAAGAAAAUAAAGAUAACGCAAGAAAAUGGAAUUAAUUCCAAGAUCGGUUGAAUUUUGUGUGAAUCAUUUACAUGCACAGAUGUGCCAUGCGUUUCUUCUUCUCAGUAACAUGGUGAUCUUCUGAUCGCUGGAGGGAUUCCUUGCUGCGUGUACACACAACACAAGACCACCAGUUCACGCAGUCACCAUUGCCAUUAGCAUGGUUCACCAGUUCACGCAUGCGCGCAACUGAUGGUGCAGGAUGACCAAGGAGGCAUGGUUUACUAGUUGCUGGGUCUUUCUUUGGGAUUUCAAACUUCAAACUACUUUUUCUCCCAAAUCAAAAAUUUAUUUUUGAAUCCGUUUGAACCACUAUCUUGCUGAGAAUUAAUGUAACAUAAUGAGAUCUAAUAUGAAUAUAUUUUUACUAUUUUUAAAAAAUCAACAUUUUGGAUGAUCUAUCUCAACAUUUUAAGUACGCUACUUCAACAUUUUUAAUCAAAUAUUGAAAUGGAUUAAUCAAAUGUUGAAUCUAAUAUUUAAAAUGUUGAGUAUAUUAAUUUGAUAUUUUGAAUAUAGGAGGUCACAACAAAAAUCUAAAUAACAGCGCACGUUGCCUAUCCGUAGGCCUGUACCCUCCUGCAUGCUACUGGCUGGCCUCCUCCCUCAUCCCCCGCUGGUGUUCAGCACGAGAACGCUUUGAAGAGCGGCGCCGGCGGCAGCACAAACUUGGGAGGGACUGUGCGGCGGAGUAUCAACCAUCACCUUUGAUCUGAUCUUCAGAGUUCAGUCAUAUAUAUAGUUCAGUUAACUCAAUGGUUAUGCGUCUGAAGAAAAACCGCAAUUAUUUUACAUUUUGAUAUCUCCAAACUCCUGCCAAAUGCCUAAAUCCUUUUCAAACGAUGAUAAAUAUUUUCUUUUUUUUUAAACGAGCCAGCAAGAGAGCUGCCGCUAUAUUAAUAUAGAGGAAGAGCCUGACGGGUAGGAAAAAAAGGUUCUAUACAAACUGUACACUCGCAUCCCAGAACAAGGGGAGCCAAAACUCCGCUAUGUCAACUAAAAAAACUAAGGAGAAGGAGGGAGUAGCUCCUGCAAGUGUUUAGCCCCCGCAGCGACCCACAGUGCUGUUUGGCUCUUGAUGCCAUCAGUUAUCUGAGCAAGUGUCAUUUCUUGCCGUUGAAAGAUCCCGCGGUUCCUCUCUAGCCAAAUCUCCCAGAAGACCAGCAUGAUAAGGGUCCGCAACCCUUUUCCACCACCCCUCGGGGUAGCAAGAGUAGCAGCCCACCAACUAUGUAGAGACUCGUACCUGUCCCAUCGGCUUGGCUCAAUGUUAGGGCAUUGAGUCCAAAUAUUGAUUUCACCCCAGACCCGCGCGUGAAAAGCUGCAAUCGGCGAAUAGGUGGUAUCCAGUCUCCUGAACUGUGUUACAAAGGGCGCAAGUUGGGUUGUUAGUCCAUCCCCGACAUUGCAGUCUGUCUGCUGUCCAUAUUCUAUCUUGAAUGGCUAGCCAGCUAAAGAAUUUACACUUUGGUGGCGCCCAAGCUUUCCAGAUAAGGUCAUCUAGGUUAGUAGUCAUGGACCCUAUGAAUUGCACUCUGUAGGCUGACUGUGCAGUGUACUUCCCGCUCUGCGUGAACUUCCAUGUAAUGGUAUUCGGUAUACCCGGUGUAAGGUGGAGCCGGGAGGUCUCAACCCAAAGCCGAUGAUACUCCAUGAAGUGUUCAGCAGUAAACCCUUGAUGUAGCAGGUUUAUAUCUCUUAUCCACGUGUGGUUGUUGAUUGCAUCAUGAAGUGUCCUAUUUUUCCUUUUUGAGAUGUGAUAUAAAUUUGGCGCUAAGUCCCUUAGCCUUUGUCCACCUACCCAGCCGCUGUCCCAAAAAGAAAUCUUGUUGCCGUCUCCCACAGUGAUUUGUGUUGCCACUGCAAAGAGUUUGCGAUCCACUUGGGAGCACGGGAUCUCCUGAGUCGCCCAGUGUGGACCUUCAUUCAUCCAUUCCUGCCAAAGCCACCUUAAGCGCAAGGCCCUGGAGAAUUUUCCUAGGUGCAAAAUGCCAAGUCCGCCUCCCUUUCUAUGCCUAGCUGUCCGCGUCCAAUUCACUUUGCUUUUGCCACCUGUGAGCUGCUCUGUCCCUGCCCAUAGAAAGCUUCUUCGUUUAGCGUCGAUACUCUUCAUUAUUUCCUUUGGCGCUUUGAGGGCUGACAAUAAAUAGACAGGUUGAGCAGUCAGGACCGAUUUCACCAUAGUUACCCUGCUGUCAUCAUGUUUCUUCCACUCCAACCACUUAACUUCGCCGCAAUCUUGUCUAAUAGUGGUUGGAAAUCUACCGCCUUAAGUCGCACGGUGGACAACGGAAGCCCUAGGUAUUUAAUCAGGAAGACGUCCCUUCUUACUGGCAAGUUUUCAAGAAUUCCACUUAGUUGGACACCUUCACAACAUAUGGGGAUGGCGGUCAAUUUGUGGAAGUUCGUUUUGAGCCCCGUCGCUUCCCCAAAUAGUUCCAAAAUGUUGGCAAGAGCAUCAAAUUCCUCUUUUCUUGGCACCAUGAAUAAAGCUGCAUCGUCCGCAUACAUUGAGAUACAACACAAAGGCACUCUUCCGCGCAGCUUUGUAAAGAUGUUCAUGUCCGUCGCCAAUUCCAGAAUUCUUUGCAGCAGGUUGAUCGCAAUAAUGAAGAACAGUGGUGACAGCGGGUCACCUUGCCUCAACCCUCGGCCAUGCUUUAUUGGUGGGUUUGGGACGCCAUUAAGGAGAACGCGCGAGGAAGAAGUAGAGAGGAUCGCCGCAGUCCAAUCACACCAGCGAGUAGGGAAUCCUAGUCGAUGCAGUAGCAGUAAAAGGUAGUCCCACCGAAUGGAGUCGAAGGCUUUAGCGAUGUCCAACUUCAGAAAAACCGCCAGCACCUUGUUCCUAUGAUAUGUUCUGGCCGUGUUCCGUACUGACAUGAAGUUGUCAUGGAUACUCCACUUCUUAAUGAAUGCACUUUGGCAUUUGGAGACAAUUGAAUUCAUAUGGGGCUGCAGCCUGAGUGCCAUAGCCUUUGUGAUGAUCUUAAUGAACGAGUGUACGAGGCUUAUGGAUCGUAAGUCUUGGACGGUGUUCGCUCCCUCUUUCUUCAGGAUGAGUAGAAUGCUCGCUGUGUUAAUGAUUUGAAGGCUAUUGCAUCGGAGACAGUAGGACGCAUUAACUGCGGCCAUGAGGUCCAGCUUGAUGGUGUCCCAGCAUGUUCUUAGGAAAAGGCCUGUAAAACCGUCUAGGCUAGGGGCUUUGUCCCCUGGCAUAUUGCGGACUGCUUGUUUGAUUUCAUCUUCGGAGAACGGGGAGUCAAGGGAUGACAGGUCCUGAUGGUUGAGAUGAAGAAGAUCCCAUCUAAGAUCCACCACGUGUGGCUGGGGCUGCUGCAAGGUUGUUGUAUAGAAGUUUUGUAUGUCGGCUGCUUUUUCCUCGUGCGUGCAUGCCCAACCGUUCUCUCUUUUAAGCUUCUGAAUGUAAUUCUUGCGCCUCCUCGAAUUAAGUCACCGGUGGAAAAAACGUGUGUUGGCAUCUCCUAAUUUAAGAUUAGAGAUUCUGCUAGCUUGAUACUUACACGCACUCAAUUAUCGCCAGCCCCAUGACCCUUAGCUUUAGACGGCUCCGCAGGGUUUGCUCCGCCUCCGAAAGCUGACGAUGUUCCUGUGCUAUGUCAAAACGUAGAAUCACAUCUAGGGCCAUGUGCAGUUGCAUUCUCGCAUCUGAUAUGAGACGUCCGCUCCACUCUCUAAGAGCUACCGCAGUGGUAUGAAGCUUGUGGUAAAGUCUGUGAAAAGGUUCAUGAUGAGGGGACUGUGUGUUCCAUGCUCGUGCUACUGUUUCCUGGAACCCCGGGAGCAUUGUCCAAAAGUUCUCAAACUUGAAGGACCUGGGACGUCUGGGGCUGCUCUAAUUAGAGAGAAGGAGAGGGCAAUGGUCGGAAAGGGAAGUUGACAGUGCGUGCAGGAUGUGUGAGCAGAAAGCACUUUCCCAUUCCGCAUUAGCAAAUACUCUGUCUAAUCUAACAAGUGUCGGGCGUUGCCUCUCGUUACUCCAGGUGAAUUGCCUAUUUUGGAGAUGUAUCUCUCGUAGAUCGCUGUCAUCUAGUGCUUGUUUGAACAGGUUCAUAAGCCUCAAAUUCAAUUUGCUAUUGUUCUUGUCACUCGCUUUGUAAAUGAGGUUGAAGUCGCCAAGGACUAACCAUUGAGAGCCGCGUUGCGGUUGCUGCACUUGAAUUUCUGUUAGGAACUGAGGUUUCUCACUAUGAUGUGUCGGGCCGUAAACUACGGUUAGUGUGAACGUGUUUUCCAUUUCUUGCAUUGCAACUGUUGCUGUUAUGUGGAAAGUACCUAUGACAAUGUUUGUGAGUGCAACGUGGGAGCUGUUCCAUAGCAGCAGGAUGCCGCCCCUAGUUCCAUUGGGUCCCCCUGCCAGCUUGUGUGAAUGGCUGUCAAGUACAGAGCCUCCUAAGUAGCUGGCCGUGAAGUAGUCGAUAUUGCAUAAUUUUUGUUUCUUGAAGGCACGCAAUAUGGCACAAAGUAGAGGAGAUGGUCUCUCUUACUGUAUCUCUUCUCACUCUUUGGUUCAGGCCCCGCACAUUCCAGCAGAUGAUUUCAAGAUUCAUGGUUAGCUUGUAAAUCUCUUGUCCCCGUGCUUGUCCCAAGGCUGUUUGCCUCCUGGAUGCUUGCAGUGACACAGGUGCAGGCAGCACAGCAAGGGAGGCAUCUCACACAGGAGCUGCAAGCAGCACACAGCAGGUAGAAUAAUAGCAACAGAGGCAGCCAGAGCUUGGACAAAGCAUAGACCGGGUAGAUUGCAGACAUUCAAGAAGUAACAUAACACUGUUCAGGUUCACAGGUUACAUUCCAGUUGAGGCGAAGCAUAAAUGGGAUGACGGCUGAGAAGCCGCGAGUAGCGAACAUAGAUGAUGUGGAUAACAUGAUAGCUUGCAAAGCUCUAGGUGGCUGCAGGGUGAUCAUCAGUUGGCCGCCAGCGCCGGUGCAGUGGUGGCAGCAACCACCUCCACAUGGUUACUGUUAGCGCCUUCCCCUCCUCCUUCCUGAGCAAAUUCUCCCUGGAUGUCCUCGAUGGCUUCACCUGCAACCCUAGCCAUGGCCUCGUCAAGCUACUGGGCCACCGGAUCAUCAAGGUUAAACGCCACCGUCAGUGCUGCAAUGAUGUCUUGGGGCACCGGGCCUUGGAACAUGGCCAGAUAAUCCUGCAAAGCAGCCUCGAUGGGCUGGAGUUCAUCAGUUAGAAGCCCCAAUUUGCGACAGACAUUGUGUUGCGCUCUUUGAAUCAUCGGCAUCGGCCUGCGAUUGGAGAGCCUUGCACUGCGACGUACCGUCGACAUGUCAAAAACACGCCUUGGGUGGCGAAUCUUGGCCGGAUUGGCCUGUUGGCAGUGUGUGUGGUCCUCCAGCUGCUGCGUGUUGUCCUUCUGGCCUGCUCCCAUCGGUGAUAACUGGAGCAUCAGUGCCGGCCUGGUGAAGAAGGCAUCUCCCGAAGUUGUGCUGUUGACGUUAGUUUCAGCACCUUGAACGGCCGUCACCUGUUCAACCUGGGGAAUGUUAGAUAAGAAAACAUCGCUGUCCACCGAGGUUGGCAGCGUCACUUCUUGGCUUAGGCUCUGCAGGUGCACCUGGAGAUUAUUCAGUGCAGACUCCACCUCCUGGACGGAGAUAGGAUCAGCAACACCGUUGUUUGCACCCCCUGUGUCGUCGGUGGAAUUGAGCGCCAUCUGUUGAGGAACCAGGUCAGUGAAAGGAAGGCAACUUGGUGUGUGAGCAGCAGAUGCAGGCGAGGAAGAAGGCAGCAGUGAAUAUUCUAGGUUGCAGGAGGAAGACAAGUCAGCUUUGAUGCGGUCGAACACCUUUGAAACCUUUACCGUCGGCAGGCUGAAUCUGUCCUUGCCACACUCCCCGGACCAGGCUUCAUCCCCUUCAUACGGAAGGCGGAGAGCAUUGGUCAAGUUGAUCGCUUUGUUGAUGUAGUCGUGCAGGCUGGGCAGCUGGGGGGUGUUGUCGUCGGGCUUGGCAUUCCCGGAUUUCCUGCAGAGAUAAUUUGCAGCAGCCUCCUUCAUAGUGGAAGCGUGGUUAGCGAACAGGAACUGCAUCUCAACUGCUCUCGCGUCGUGGGUGGGGCCGAACAGAGAGAGCUGAUGAGGCCUGGUGUUGCUGGGCUGAUGAUGUGUGGUGCUGUGCUGCAGCUCUCCACAAUUGCUCCCGCCGCCCCAGGUCCAGCGCCUGGGUGAGCGGUUGCACUCGCGGCUGGAUUCCCCACCCGUGCCCUUCAGGGCGUCGUGAGCACGUCGAGCACGGUCGCCUCGCCCGUGAUGGCCACUAUCGUCGUUGUCAUCCUUCCUGCGACGCCAGACAUUCCACCUGCUCGAAGAGUGAUCGUUGUUGUAGCUCUUCCGCUGGCGUUCCUCCUUGCUAUCGCGCCGCUCAGUCUCCCCCGCCGCACUGCUCCGGCCAUGGUGAGAAUGGUCAGAGCGCGGGGGCAACUGUUGGCGUGCAGCACCUUCCACCGCCGGACGAGGCCUCGACUCCCCAUCAAUGCACCCAAGGUGCCAAGGAGCAAGCCGGCGGAUUGACGGCGUGCAGGACAUCCUAUCGUCAAGGUUGACGGACGCCAGGGUGUAGUCCUAGAUCUCUUCCAGGUGGAGGAUGACGCAGUGCUUGACGCCAUGUUGCCACUGUCCAGGCGGUGUCUUGGUCACCAGCACGUCCUCCAGCCUAGCAUUGCGCGCCCGGCCGGUGAACGUGAGCCAGAUGCACUUGGGGAUGGAACUUGGGUUAGCUGUCCAAGCCCAAAGGUUGAUCGUCUUCGUCUCUAGCGACUGUUCGAGGUUGGUGUCGAUGGCUUCGAGGGCGUAGGUGCCACCGAUGAUCUGCUCCGUGAUGUCGGCUUGCCAUGCAUGCAUCGGCACCCCGUCGAGACAGAGUUUGACCCGGAAGAGCAGCGCCGCCCCUUCCGCGUCACGGAGGCUCCUCCACUUGGUGAAGAAGACUUCGACACCAGAGCCUGCAACCUUCCCCUUCUGGAAUGCUUCGGCGCAGUGGCGGCUAUGCUUAAAUUUGAUCAAGUCUCAGGGAAAUGGCGUGAGACCGUUACCUCACCGUGCUGCAGCCUGAACUCCUCCUUGAUGGCGCGCUCGACAUCGCGAGGAUCCACUGGUUCCUAGCCUCGCACAGCCCAGGUGACUGCCGCCGUCAUCUCCCACUCGCGCAGAUCGGCGUUGAUGUCCCCCGUUGCUUGAAUCAAGCAAUCCACCUGCUCUGGCCUUGUCUCGGGGUCACCAAGCCAAGACAUGAUCGUCGAGGGUGCAGGCUUCGAGGGGGGGGUAGAUGUUGUCGAAGCGCCGCCUGUCAAGGAUGCGGCUGCUGGCGUGGCGACGAAGGCGGCUGCUGGCGUGGUGAAGGUGUCGGCUACUGAGGUGGUGAAAGUCGAGCUUGGCGACGGCGAGGGACCUAUCGAGGUUGUUGAAGAGGCGCUCGGGAAGGACAGAGCUUGGUGCAGUGGCCGGUGCGGAGGCAGCAGUAGCACCGAACGGGUUGGCGGCAGGACGCAGCGCGGUGGUCCGUGUCCAAGCAGACGAAGUAGCGCCCGUUUGUUGUGGCCCGGAAAGCUUGCAGAGUUGGUGAAGGCUGAAGCUGGGGGUGGGCACUGGCGGAGCGGCGUUGAGGAGCGGCCGGCCGGGCGGACUUGAAUGCUGCCCUUUCCUCCACCAGUAUGGCUGUGUGACGGGAGUCCAGCCAUCCUGAGGAGUGAAGGGGCCGUUCUUGUGCCGCUCGCCGGUCACCUCAGGCACAGCUACAGAGGCGGCGGGGCGACGGCCAUCCAGAGGAGUGAAGCGGCCGUCCUUGCGCCGCGCGCCGGUCACUUCAUUGGGCACGGUGAUAGAGGCGUCUGGGCGGGCGAAGAGUGGAGAAGGCGCGCGGCGAGAGUUACUGCGGACAGUGCGGUAGCUGGGCGAAGGGGGCGCGCGUCCGGGAGCGGAGUUACUGCGGCGGGUGGGAGAAGUAAAGGCAGCUGGUGUAGUCUUCGCAGCAGAAGUCAGCUUCGGCGCAAAAUCACCCAGGACAGCUUGCGCGUAGGAGAGGUGAGGCCGGGGCGAGCAGAGGCGGUGCGGCUCCUGCAGCUCCGACGAUACCUGCACGGCGGAUCUUACCUGAGAUGCGCAUGGGGUCCUGAGAUUCAAAAACUGGAAAGGGGAUCUGGGGAGAUUUGUGGCUGUGGAGAUCUGCUGAGAUCUCUGCGGUGCGGGGCGGGGCUGGAAGGAAGGCGACGGGCUGGUGGGGACGGCCAAGAAGCGGCCAAGGUUCUUGGCGCUGGGAUGGCACGGUGGUACGGCUUGGCUGCCGGCGGGACGGAAGUCGCCGCCGCCCGGGGUGAAGCGAGGCGUUUCAUUGUUACCCCUAUCAUGGCAUAGUUGUGGCAACAUAAAUAUUUUCAUUUCAGGGCGGCAAAAUCUGAAGAGGCUCACUGUAUAUUGUACUUUAGUGCUACUAUCAGUUCAGCACCUUCUUCGUUUCCUUCAGGUCACACCACAUUAGCACCAGCAAUCAAAACACUUACGCCUCGUCAGAUCAACUCAUGGCUGAUGAAUGAUCCAUGAACAAUUGUUGGAUGAUUUUGCAUCAACGGAUGCAUGCAUGCUUAUAUUACAAAGCCAGAAAAAUGCUCAAGACUGUCAUACUAUCAUAUAUAUACUCCCGUGGCUUGGAUGCCAUUCAAAAUGUUGCAAGAGGUAGAGCAACUUGUAGUUCUCUGUCGAGGUGUAAACGAGCUGUAUAUAUUGGGAGGGAGCUCUGAAAUGUUGGGCUAUUGGAGGUAACGAAAAUAUCAUCCCCAGCUUUGACCUGUGUGGCUUAGUUCAUUCUAGGUAACUCAGCGGGCGACGUGGGCAUAUGGCUGUGGUAUCUGGUAUUUCUGCUUGUUCGGACGUUUUACUGGAUUCACGGUAAGUUAUCUUCUCAUAGUGUUUGUCGAGUACAACUGAUGUAACACGUCUGACACAGUGUAUUGAAGGGGUCGAUCCUCUCUCAUUCUAAUUGAACUCCUGGAGAUAGCAUACCAGUAGCAAAAAUUCCUUCUUUUUCAAAUUGAACAGCAAAAACAAAAAUGAUACUGUGACAGAUAAAGGACUUUGCAGGAAGAGAGAUAUCAUCUGUCGUUCAGUCGUGGAACCUGCUGUGUUGCGUACUCGUCCCUGACAGAGUUCUGAAGUCGAACAACACACUUGUGACAGAGAGCAGAGCUCCAAAAGUCCAAAUUCAGAAUUUCAGGGUCCUCUCUUGAUUUCAAUUUUCAAUACAAAGAUGUUUCUUCUGAUCCUGCUAGUCCUUCUGGAGAUCUGAGACAGCGGCGGCAUAAGAAUUUGAACCCGACGGAGCCAUACACUGUACAAAACGUAUGGUAAUUGUAUGUCUUCCUUCCAAAGUUCCUCAGUCAGCCAUGGAAGAGACAGGGCACGGAUCAAACAGAAAACAGAGAGGGACAGACCCCGUCUCUGCUAACACUUGCCAAUCUCUGUGCUUUGCGCUGGUCUUCUCUAGUUUAGCCAAUCUUUUUUUUUUGGGCCUGAUGCUGCAAGCAAAACUGACUAAACUCGCAUUUGCGGAGUCGUGGACGAAGUUGUCUUCCACCAAUGUCUCCAUGAUGUGCUUCCUGGUUAGGGAUCAAGAACUGUCCUUUAUGACUUGAUCCGAUGCCUCGAUGGUGUGGUUAGCGACUUUUGCCUGACAGACUGAACUAUGUAUGAAGAGACAGUACUGACAGACGUUAACGCUUCAAAAUCAGAUAUGCAGAAAGCUCAUACAUUUUCUUUCUUUUUAAAAAUAAAAAGCUAGACUUCACAGGUGGCUUGGUGGUUGUGCCUGCGCGUGCCAAUUCCUUCGUUAGGCACCCAAUUUGCUUGCAUUCCCGCCGAUGAUUUGGCUCCCCUGAUAUGGGCUGUACUGCGCGUGCGCCAUUCGAGGGAAACCCAUCGGUUCAUCUCCUUUUCCAUUUCCUUCGUCUCACACACACGGCAUUGGCACCCGACAAACAAAAAAAAAUACUGAUGAGUGGUGACUCCGGUAUGCACCCAUGAUAGAUGAAUGGUGUACCAACAUUUGUUGGAUGACUAGCACUGCUUACAAGGAGUGUUCUAUAUAUACACUCACAUGCACUAUGCCUUGAAUAAUGACAUUCAAAAUGAUACCAGAGAUACAUAGAGUACCACGUGUGUUCUCUUUCAAGCACGCAGCUAGUAUGAAACAUUUGAGGAAACCAAAUUAUGAGCUUUCACUUGUGUAACGACUCGGCGAGGCAUGUGGGCAUAUUGUUCUUUACUUUUGCCUAUUCAAUCAUUUCUCUCACGAUCCACUACAAAAUCAGAGCCAACAAGAUGACAUGAGUGAUAAUAGCGGACAUGGUUACUCUAUCAUAGAUUGCACUAAACAGUACUGGAAUGCGUCCUAUGGUGCUAAUAGACAUGAUGUAUUAUUUGUUAAAAGAUCCUCUGGUUCUUGAAUAGUUGAUCAAUGACAUGAGUUUGCUACCUGGAUGUGGAUGAGAACACAAGUGUAGUGUGGUGUCUAACUGUGGUGCUAGCAUGACAUGAUCAUGGUAGAUGAAUGAUCCAUGAAUAAUUGUUGCAUGACUUGCAUCAAUGAUCAAUGGAUGCAUGCUUAAAGCAACAAUACCAAAGACUAUCACACUAUCAUUUACCAUUCAAAAUGUUUCAAGAGGUAGAACUGUAGAACAACCUGUGUAUCUUGCUGUAAAGAUGUACUCUAAAGUAUUCAGCUAUUGGAGGUAACCCAACUAACGUUACAAGCAUGUUGGAGCUAGCUCGAAAAGCCAUACGGGGAUCCGGGUAUGGUUUAUGAUGUUUCCAUCCGCUCAAAUUCUUGAGCAGUCUCUUUCGAGCAGAGUUUAUAUAAGAUGUAUGCCUCUGUUUGCGAAACACGAGUCUUUUAUUCACAUCAAUGUUUGCACAGGCAAGUUCUAUAAAAAAAAUAUUUCAUUCACAUCCUUAGUGAAAGAGACGUUUGCCGUUUACCAAUAAAAUCUUAUGGUCAUCGCCAAUGCUGUAUCUGUGACAGAUAAAAGUACACUGCAGGAACAAAUAGAUCCUCUGUGGCUCUGUCGUUCAGUCGUUACUAGUUCCUGAAGCGUUAGUGUAAAGAGACCGGAGAAGUAGUCGAGAUCGAGGCCGUUGUCUUGUAGUCGGUUCAGGCAGGCCCGAGGUCACAUUGUUGGCCCUGCUCGAAAAUGUUGCAAGAUGGGAUCGAAGCAGAUCAUUAUGCUCGAAAAUGUAUUUGCAUGGCUUUGUUCCAAAGUUCCUCCGUCAACCAUGCAAGAGUCAGUCUUUUUUUAGUGUGACUGAAUCUUGGCUGCAAGCAAAACUACAGCCUGCAGGCUGCAGGUCACACGAUUCACAUGACUGAAUGGAAGGGAACAUGCCUAAACAUCUGAGCUGUCGCCGCCGGCAAGGAGUGUAUCCAUUUGUGCAGCCCAAUCACAAAUGCUCGUAUGGGCUACUUUGAAGCGGCAGCAGCAAGACUGUUGCCGAGCACCAAAUGUCAUUCUUUAUCCGAUCUUCAGAAUUCGGUCAUGUAAUAAUUCAGUUCACUCCUUGACUUGAUGAGUGCACUCAAUCACCCAUGAUGAAUGAAUGAUUGAUUAGCAGUUUGCUGGAUGGCAUUGAGAAUAGUUUAGCGGCAUCAGCGCGUGGGGAAUAUAUAGUUUAGCGGCAGGGGCCCAGGACACAGUGCAGGGAAUCAGAGUUCUCGCAAAGAAAACCUUUCUCCGUAGAAUUGCUCAAAGAAUCGUAGAGAAUCACUUUCAAAUUGCAUUAGUAUGUCAAGAACUCACGAUCACUUUCAAAAACGGAACCGGAAACGAUGGGGAGACCUUGGCCUUGACCUGGAGUCGUCGACUGGAGACUGGAGUCAGCACGUGAGCGUGGCCCUCCUGGACAAGCAGCGGGGCCAGGAGCAGGACGUGCAGCGACCAGCAAUCAUUGAGUUUGGUGUUUGAGCAGCGGGGCCACUGAGCGGUGGUGCAUUAUUACCUUCAAUUAUUAAUUGCCUUCCCCUUCCCCUGCAUCCGCAUCCCAUCGACCUCUGCUUCGUGCGAUUCCAAGGCUGUUGCGAGCGGUGAGCUGUGUUGCGGCCGAGCAAGCUUGAAUCAAGCAACCUCGGUCCGGCGACGAGCGGCUGGCGGCGCGAUCCGGCAAACCAGUGAGUCCUAGCUGUCGCACCCUUGUCCUUCAAUCUUCUUCAUGCCCAUCCAUUCCCAUUAGGCAAUAGCUACAGCCUACGAAAAGGCAGGUCGAGCACCCCCAUCCGAAGGAGCCCAAGCGGCCAUCCACAAAGCGGUUCUCUCCAUCUGAAAUAAGCUGUUCAAACGAUGUCCCAAUUUACCUUACUCAUUGCUGUUGCCCAGGGACAAAUCCAUGGAGAUCGUGACAGGGGCAAUUCCAAGCCUCCUGCACAAGCUCGGUGAGUUGCUAGUUGGCGAGUACAAUCUGCAAAAGGAGGUGAAGGGAGGGAUCAUCUUCCUCCAAGCUGAGCUCGAGAGCAUGCAAGCUGCCCUCGAGAAGAUCUCGAUGACACCAGCAGACAAGAUUGACGACCAGGACAAGAUCUGGGCUAGGAGAGUGAGAGAGAUGUCCUACGAUAUAGAGGACAAUAUUGACAAAUAUAUCGUGCAGUGCAAGGGGAGGAAGACGGCCGAACAGCAUAGCUUCAAGGAAGCCAUUGAUAGGACCCUCAAAUGGUUCAGGCAGCCUAAGAUUCGUCGUAAGAUUGCUACAGAAAUCAGAGAGAUCAAGAGCCGUGUCAUUGAGGUGCAUGAACGGCGCCGCAGGUAUGAGGUCAGCCUUGGUGUUGAUAAGCCUGUAACUGUGGACCCUCGUUUAUUCGCUCAGUACACGGAGGUGAAAGAGCUUGUUGGCAUUGAUGAGGCAAGAGAUGAGUUAAUCAGCAAGAUUAUGAUAGAAGAGAAUGAAGUUCCCAAGACGCAAGGCAAGAUAGUUUCAAUUGUUGGAUUUGGAGGCCUGGGAAAGACAACUCUUGCCAAUGCAGUGUACAAAAAGAUUAGAGCACAGUUUGAUUGCUAUGCUUUUGUUUCUGUUUCUCAAACUCCUGACCUGAAGAAACUGUACAGCAGCUUGCUACAUGAUCUAAGCAAGAACAUCAAUGAUGAAACAUUGGAUGAGAGGCAGCUCAUAGAAGUACU